GGCUUGUGAUGUGCAGGUGUAGGAUGCGACGUGGCGGUCGAUGGCGUGCGUGAAGAUCAAGCGAAAGGUUCAUACCGAUGGACCAAGAGCGGUGAAGGAUGAACGCGAGUAGGCUUGGACCGAUGGACCCGAUGAGUCCGGGCGGAGUCACGGGCGAUCCACAUGGUGCACGGAACGGCGGGAGAACAUGAUGAGAUGGAGACGGCGUCGGUCGAGUCGAGCGGGAGGCUUGGCAGAGGCCGGACACGCGUCGACAUCGAGGAGGUCACGUGGCGGUCAAGCGGAGAUGGACGGUUUGGGUGGUUUGGGCCUCAAAACCGGAGGCGAGCCCGGUGCGACCGGAGCUUCGAGAAGGAGGGCACGUGGCGUCAUCGCGAAGCUUGCGUUGAGGCGAAGCAAAGUCGUGAAGGCAGCGUGUCCAUCCGAUGUGCGGAUAAAAACUUGGACCAAAAUGCCCCUGCGUGGGUAGUUAUCCUAGUUGUAGCUGUAGGCGUAGUAGUGUCUUUUGUCCCACCUCUUUGCUUAGCAACUCAUUAUUUUUUUGGCUUAGAGGCUAGUCAUGUGCUGAGAGGAGAGAGGGAGAUUAGAGACUGAUUAUUUUUUUCUCUUAAUUUCUUCAUCUUUAGUGGGUGGAUGAAGGGAGGAGGCUAGUCCUCAUCUUGUAUAGAAGAUGUUCUUGUGAUUUAAUUUUGUUUGUUGUCUCAAAUCGUGCUAAAUCUUUGAUUCUCGAGCAUUUUUUUUCCCUAUUUGCAGAGCUAUUUUUGGGGAUUUUUCGUUCAUCAUAUUUGAGCCCGAAUCUCGUGAUUUUGGUUGAAGAGAAAUGUUGCUACGAUCUUAGGGAGCAUCUUUGGUACGAUCCCCUCCAAAUCCCACAUGGAUUCGGCCGGAUUUUGAAUUUCUCCCAAAUCGUGUUCUUCGCGUAGGGUUUCGGUUUUUCUCCAAAUCCCCGAUGAAUACUUGAGCGUUUUGAGAUCUUUAUCAUGGAUCUAUUAUCCCUUGGGCCUACGCAUCUAUGGCUCAAGUUUCGUCUCGAUUCACGGAGUAUUGAGGGCAGAUUUUUGAAUUAAAGUUCAAGCCGAGUUCUCGGUGCCUUCUGUUUUCUUUCUGUUCUUCGGUUCGAGCAGCAGGCGAGAGGCUCGUGGCGGCGCACGUCUGCACCAGAGCAGCAGGCCAGCGAGUUGCGCAGCAGGCCGGGCAGGCCGCGCCGCAGGCCAGCUCGUUACCUGGGCCGGAACGGCUCUGGUGGCCCAAGCUGCAGCAGCAGGUGCUCGCGGGCCAGGCUUUCAGCAGCUCCAGGCAAGCACGCGCAGUCCAUCCAGUGGCACCAGGCCGGCCUACACGUGAGGUAAGCUGCAGGGCAAGCUAGCUGGUCCAGCACGUGUACUAGGAAAUGAGCAGGUUGUGAUAGAACAGUGAGCUUGUCUUUGGUCCAUUGUUAAUUCCUUGCAUUUUCUAGUUAUUCUCUGUUAAGUCGAUCUCUGUUUAGUUGAUUAGUCUUUUAAUUAGUAUUGUCUCCUGUGCUAAUUAUGCUUAGUUUAUUUAAUCAAUUGCUAAUCCGUCCAUGCCUACUUAAGUAAGUGGUUAGUAGUGUUCUUGUUUUGUCUCACGGAAUAUUCAUGCUAUAUUUCCGCUGUGAUUUGUGCGUCUCUUAUCGUUCCUAGGGUGAGCUAGUCAUGAGUUGACUUGCGUCAUCUUGACGAUUGAACGCACGGUGUGCUUUAAGGUUGCGUUUCGGAUAUAGGCUUUGUUUUCGUUGAGAAUUUUUAUACGCUCCCAUUCACCCCCUCUGGUCACCCUUUCGGUCCUUCACGAAGGAUGUUAGUUUGGGCAUGCAUGGUUGUAUCUAUGUUCAAGGAACAUUCAGAUAUGAUAAUUUCAGUCAGAAGCAUGCAUUGCAUGCUGAUCAAUUGACACUUCUCCUACCUAUUACUGUACUAACUACUAAGAAUAUGUCCACGUGACCGGCACGAGAAACUGUACGUGUGCAAAAAGUGGACAAAGAGAAAUUUACGACGGACUAGAAUACAAACAUAUUUGUCCAUAUCAGUGGGACUACAAGCUGAAUGGCAAUGGGCCCGCAUCUCUAUGGCUUAACUUUAAGAAGAUGCGCUUGCAUCACUGCUGAUGCCUAAGUUUCACAUGACCUCGAUGUAUUUUUCUCAAUUCGUAGAAGAACUGAAAAGUUUUGUACAGAAAUAUAGGAGGUAAGCUCCAUUAGUGCUUACCUCUUGUUAACAGUGUGGAGAAAAUGAUGAGGUGCGUUACUAUCACUACUAGAUUUUACAUCUUUUCUCAUCGGCAUUUUGUGAAUGACUGACGGUUAUCAGUUAUUUGGAAUUUCCACACAUAGCCAAGGUGUGUUUCAGUGUUAUUAAGAUAUCUCCAAGAAUUAUUUACUACAUGGCUGAUGAUUUUUGUAUUGGGACAUAUUGGUUGGGGAUUUUUGGUUGCUAAUCUAUUUUUCUCCUCGGGAAUCAUCAAAAAUUAGACUACAAAAGAUUUGUCCCUUGAGAGAAAUAUUAUGAAGAAAAAGAAUAAUUAAAAACACUAAAAAAUGUUGAAUAUGUUGUAGUGCAUUAACUCUUUUCCCACUUGUGCUAGUAGACUGCUCACGGCUUCUUUGAGCUCUUCCUACAUUAUACAUGGGGACAUAUAAACUGUGUCUCACUCUGUGAUUGAAGUAUUGCCUCUAAAAUGUGGAGACAUCAACAGAAGAGGGACUCGCUUGGUAGCUUGGAAGAAGCUGCUUGCAGUUGCAGGCCAAAAUAUCAAGGUGGACCUGGUGUCCCUAGGCUUUUCUCCUGAAAUAAAGUUACAAGUUUUACAAAAUAUAAGCUAGCUAGACCUUGUUCAGGAUAAGCUAACCUUCGAUGUUUGUAUGCUAAUACUUCCCCCUCCACAUUGGCACAGAAAAGUUGGCUCUUUUUGUGGCAUUAUAUAAGUUCUAUCUUUGGCUGAUAAUUUCAUAGUAUAAAUUUUACUACGGUUCAAUUUUGUAAAGAUACUUUGGAGUUUAGUAUUUUACAAAAGUGAUUUCCGCAGCUUUUCACCUUUGGCAAUGAAUGUAAAAUCUCAACCAAGAAACUAUGAACAAGUGUUCGUGACCUAUUAUUAACAAGUGUUCGUGACCUAUUAUUCAUCUCCUUGUCAGUGAUGCCUUCAUCUGAAGUUCAAGAGCUAUUGAAUAUAAAAUCUAAACUUAUCUUUGAGUAAUGGCUCUGAGGAUCAAUUCUCAUAUACUUGGGGCAAUAACUGUUUCUCAAGUCAGAAAACAUUGAACCAUCAUUUGUCCUUUGCAACCUUCCCCUUUGUUCAAAUUGCUUUGCAAGUUUGAUAUCAUGCUGCCAAAGUGUCAUGAACUACAUCAUCUCCAUCAUGAUCUGGUGAGCAAAAAUUGUGCUGAAGUGGCAAAUGGACAAAGAAACCUGCUGAAGCCUGAAGAGAGAAGCAGAAGUAAUAAUGUGGAGGUCCAGCCGGGUACCAAAGACCGACAGCUUUAUCCUCAAAAAAGAAAAAAGGCCAGCAGCUUUAGGUACUCGGGCCCAACCUAAGCGGCCCAAGGAGGCCAGGCCCAAGUUCAAGACAGUAGAGUGUAUUUGUUUUCUCCCUUCCUGUUUCUUCUUGUUGAAAUGGACGCUGGCUUUACUCUGCUUCUCCUACUCUGACGAAACUGAAUGGCAAAGCUAAAUAACUCUGACGAAACUGAAUGCUGAAAUCUUAAUAAUGUUGAGCUCCAGACUCAGGCGCACCUUCGACCUGAGGGGCUUCCACGUUCCACCAGGCUAGACCGAGACUGUCCCUGCUCAUCCUGCCAAACACGCCCGUCUAGGAUCUAACCAUGUAAUCAUUUGGCAUACACUGGUUAUCACAAAUAAUUGAACGCUAAUCGAACUAGCUUCGAACAUAACCCAUUAAUCUGGUGAAGUAUAGAAUGGGUUCAUCCAUCGCUAUAUCUGCAUGCAGGAGAGAGACUGGCAGGACAAAUCGAUUUGGCCAUAAGUUCGUAACGAUAAAAUGAAUUUGGGAGAACAAUACACCGUACCAAUCCUGUAUAUACAACCCUGUUCACGAGUAGUACGAAAAAUACACAAGACGACAUCUCAUCACUACGCUCUGAUUUCUGAAGAUGACGAUGAAUUGCUGGAAAGUGUAGAAUAAGAGUGAAACCAUUCUGAUGCAAUCCCAUCCAAUCACUGAAUUUUGCCAACUCCUCGACGUAUCACUCUCCUGGUUCGGCCGCCCGGGUGACUCGACAGACGCAGCGAGGACAGGGCCGCAAGAUCCGGCGGUGGCAACCCAGCAGUCGCUGCAGAGAAUGACACCGGCGAAGACGAAGACGACCCGGUUUGGCCGCGGCUGUCAUCCUUGUCGGCUUCUUGCUGGUCUCCUUCUCCGCCACCGCUGCCUGCUUGUCGCCAAUGGGGUUAGUUCAGCUUCAUUCAGGAUGGCGGAUGAUUCCGUGAAAUUUGUUUGUACCAGCCAGAAGCCCAAAUGGAAUCUGCUGAAUUCAGUUCAUACCUUCCGCAGAACAUUGACCAAGUGCAAUUUCCAGAUGCUUCUUCUUGGGCUCCAUGUUGUUUCUACAUAAUACUCCCAGAUCAGAUUUGAUCAUUCAGAAGAGCACACAAGAAGUCAUCAAUCACCGCCCAGAUCAGAUUCAUCUGUUUGCUACAGGAAAGUGGUGAUCGAAAAGUAAAACCUGGGGAUUAAAAGAAACUUUGAAAGUGAGCAACAAGUCGACGAAGGCGCGUUACCUGAAAGAGAGGAACACGAGGCACUGUGCCCGGAGCUGCUUCAGCUGCUGCUCUGCGAAGGCCGUCGCCGCCGGCGAGGGGCGAGAGGACGGAAGCAUGCCUGCCUUUCUUCUCUGAAAUGGAGGCAUAAGUGUCAGCUUCUUCUUGGUUAUAUCAUGAUCAAGAAAAUUGCCAUUAUCGGUACAUGAUUUUUCUAAUUCAAUUUAGCAUUGCCGGCACAAGUUUGCAGUUAUCCGAUUAAGACCGGUGCUUAUAAUAUGGCGAUAUGAUUGAUACUCUUGUUUACAUUGGACUUGUUCUGAACUUCUGAUGCACGGCACUUGCGGUUAAACAACAUAAGGAUUUUUCCUGGUGCCGGACAACGGUGGAUGCAGACAGCACGUAGGACAAAAUGCAAGGAUAUUUUUAUGCAUGCGAACCUGAAAAGACUUCUUCAGCAUGGACAGCAUAUAUAAGCGCUCGCAUCAGCAGCACCAAAAUUUUCUUCUCUAAGGAUAAGAAUAUUUCUUUUUCAAGUUACAAAUUCAGAAUUAGGAAGUAGGUUAAAAUUAGAAAUUAGAAAUUGUAGGGCUUUAGUUGUAGAAAUUAGAAAAUGAUGUUUUGCUUGAGAAUCUAAGGUAUAAGAAUGUUUGUGGAAGUCGGCCAUCGUGCUGUUCCUUCUUCUGUACAUGUGGUUGUCGGCUAUCGUGCCGUUUCAUUUGAUGCAGGUUAUGGAAACCUUCACGUGCAAGGGAGGUGCUGCCGAAAAUUUUAGUUGACAGUUGUAUGUUCUUUUUUUGCAGGAGAGGCUACGUUACCGUCCUCGAGUCGUCACUUUGUACGAUAGCAAGGUGAGUCAUCCUAUACCUCUAUUUCCGUAUAAUGUUUGUAUAUCACGUAACCUAGUUAGGCGUCUCCCGUUCGAGAGAGAUACGGUUGGAAAUAUGUAGAUGUUUGCAUAUUUAUAACCGUAUUUAUUUCGAAUUGUCCACGUCACUUUGGACAGCACGAGGAUGUGUAGGUGGGUUUAGUUUUCAUAGUCUACUCCGAUCCGAGUUAGAGUUUCGGCAGCACCUCCCAAUUGUUCUCCGGAUACACAAUCUCCAUUCCAGGACGUGUAUUUGGAGAACAGCGGGGAGGUGCUGCCGAAAUUCUAUCUCGGGUCGGAGUAGACCAUGGAAACUAAUCCCACCUACACAUCCUCGUGUGGGAUUAGGACCUAACUUCACCUAAUAGACAGUAUAGGAACGUGUAGAUGCAACGUGAGUUUUUAUAUUACUCGCUGAUAUGCUAGAGGAUGGAGGAUCGUCAGUGGAUGUACACGGGCCGAUCUAAUCAGAAUUCGUUGACCGAUGAAUGGAUAAACAAGACCGAUGCUUUCUUGGAACGGGCAUUUGCAAGGAUCAAAGGAGGAAGAGAUACUUGGUGUCCGUAUAGCAAAUGUGGAAACCUGCGUCAGCAAACCAAGUUAGAAAUGGGUAAACAUCUUGUUAGGCACGGAUUUACGUCAGACUAUACCAUCUGGAUCUACCAUGGUGAAGUCGAUCGUGGGAGGGACGAGGUCAUCAGACAAUGGAUCGAGCAAUAUGAUGAUGACGCCGGGGUGGGAGACAUGUUAGAUGACUAUCAUGAAGCUCGUAGGGAGGAGGAGCCCGAGGCUACCGCAAAGGCGUAUUACGACAUGUUGUGUGCGGCACAGCAACCCCUUCACGGGCAUACCAAGGUCUCUCAACUGGAUGCCAUUGCACGUCUAAUGGCUGUGAAGUCCCAGUUUAGCUUGAGUCGAAACGCCUUCGAUAUUAUGUUGACAGUUUUUGGGAGCUUGCUCCCGGAGGGUCACAUCUUGCCAAAGUCUAUGUAUGAGGCACAAAAACUUCUUCGUGCACUUAAGAUGCCGUACGAGCAGAUACAUACUUGUCCGAAGGGAUGCAUCUUAUUUAGAAAGGAAUAUGCAGAAUCAAAGUACUGUGUAAAGUGCGAAUCGUCUAGGUUCCUGGAGGUAGACUCUGGUGACGGUCAGAAGAAGCAGCUUGCAAUUCCUGUGAAGAUCCUUCGGUACCUUCCCUUCAUACCGAGGAUCCAACGGCUUUACAUGUGUGAAGAAUCUGCGAAACAAAUGACAUGGCACAAAACCGGACGUCGAUACAAUGCUGAGAAGCUGGUACACCCAUCCGAUGGCGAAGCCUGGACAAAGUUUGAUGCGAUUUAUCAUGAGAAAGCUCGAGAGGCUCGUAAUGUACGUGUUGCGCUCGCAACAGAUGGGUUCAAUCCUUAUGGAAUGGCUGCCGCCCCGUACACCUGUUGGCCUAUGUUCGUUAUCCCCCUCAAUCUCCCCCCUGGUGUUCUCUUUCAGCGACAGAACAUAUUUUUAUCGUUGAUAAUUCCAAAACAUCCAGGGAAUAAUAUGAGUGUGUACAUGAAGCCUCUGAUUGAUGAUUUGGUCCGUGCAUGGGAUGAAGGGGUAUGGACAUACGACCGUGCUACAAGGACAAACUUCAAGAUGCAUGUUUGGUACCACUACUCCCUGCAUGACUUGCCAGCAUAUGGUAUUUUCUGUGGUUGGUGUGUUCACGGGAAGUUCCCAUACCCAGUAUGCAAGGCUUCUUUGAAAUUCAUUUGGUUGACGAAGGGUGGCAAAUAUUCUUCAUUCGACAAACAUCGACAAUUCCUUCCUCCUGACCAUCCUUUCAGACGAGAUAUUAGAAAUUUUACGAAAGAUGUCGUAGUUAACGACCCUCCACCGCAUAUGCUGACCUUAGUCGCGGUUCGUGCUCAGUUAGACGCUCUUGAGGUCAACAAUCAUGAUGGUGGUUUUGUGGGAUAUGGCGAGCAACAUGCUUAGACUCAAAGAUCAUGCUUGUGGAACCUCCCCUAUUUUGAUGAUCUUCUUCUCCCACACAACAUUGAUGUUAUGCACACUGAAAAGAACAUUGCUGAGGCAAUUUUUGGUACAAUUAUGGACAUUCCUGACAAGACAAAGGAUAACGUUAAGGCUAGAGUGGAUCAAGCAAUGUUAUGCAACAGACCAAAGUUAGACAUGGCGCCUCCCAGAGCCGGCAAGUCGUGGAGAAAGCCUAAGGCUGAUUUCAUCCUGACGAGGGCCCAAAGGAGGGAGGUAUUAGAAUGGUUCCAAACGUUAAUGUUCCCUGAUGGGUAUGCAGCAAAUCUGAAGAGGGGAGUGAACUUAGCUACUAUGCGAAUCAACGGGCUCAAAAGUCAUGAUUAUCACAUAUGGAUUGAGCACCUACUUCCGGUGAUGGUUCAAGGCUAUGUCCGUGAGCAUGUGUGGCAGGUGCUAGCGGAGUUGAGUAAUUUCUUCCGCCAGCUUUUUGCUAAGGAGUUAUCUCGGACCGUGGUUGCCGAAAUGGAAAGAAUGGCGCCUGUGUUGCUCUAUAAGUUGGAGAAGAUCUUUCCUCCUGGCUUCUUCAAUCCGAUGCAGCAUAUGAUUUUACACCUCCCUUAUGAAGCACGAAUGGGGGGGGCCUGUGCAGGGCCAUUGGUGCUAUUCAAUUGAGAGGUGUCAAAAGGUUCUUCGAACUAAAUGUAAAAACAAAUGCAAAAUUGAAGCCUCCAUUGCAGAGGCAUACAUUCUGGAGGAGGUGUCAAACUUCACAACAAAAUACUAUGCUGACAACCUUCCUAACGUGCACAAUCCACCGCCUCGUUACAAUGACAGCGAAGUUGAAUCGAGCCUUAGUCUUUUUCGAGGACAACUUGGAAGUGCAAGUGGUGCGACACAAAAAAAAUUGAAACAUAAAGAGUGGUGCACUAUCAUGCUGUAUGUAUUGACCAACCUAUCCGAGGUGGAGCCGUACAUACUGUAAGUUCUGAACAAACUAGUCUUUUCUCAAUUUGUCAGUAUUCUUCGUCCAACUCUCAUGUUUCUCGUUGGUACAGGGAAUUCCAUCGUAACUUCUGGUGUAAUUCAAGGGAACCUACCCCGCACGAAGCCGAGACUCUUCUCAAAGAGGGUGCAGGAAAUGGAAUGCCCAAUUUCAUUUCUUGGUUCAAACAUAAGUUACAGUCGAUUUUAGCUCGUACUUAGCUUGAUUAGAAGUUGACCAUACAUGCGAAUAAUAUAACGAACCACCCUACUUCAACUUGCAGGCCCAAACCGAUUCGUCUAUGAAUGUCGAGUUGAGACAGGUUGCCGAUGGCUGUGCCUACAGGGUCAAAUCUUUUACCGGUUAUGAUGUAAAUGGAUAUCGCUUUCACACAACAAGCCAUGAGCAUAGUCGGCCCAAUCGAAGAAUGACAAAUAGCGGAGUUUUUACGCCAGGCUUUGAUGGUGUAGAGUACUACGGAAGAAUUGAAGAGAUAUACGAACUAACUUUUCAUGAUUGCAAAGUUCUUAAUCCAGUCCUAUUCAAAUGCCAUUGGUUUGAUCCAUCAGUCGUGAGACGGGCACCUAAUCUUGGGUUAGUCGAAAUUCGCCAAUCAUCCGUCUUAGAAGGAGACGAUGUAUACAUUGUGGCUCAACAGGCCACGCAAGUUUAUUAUUUGUCAUACCCAUGCCAAUCCGACGACCGUCUUAAAGGUUGGGAUGUUGUGUACAAGGUAUCGCCGCACGGUAAAUUACCUGUACCAAACAAUGAAGAUUACAACAUUGACCCCAACACAUAUGACGGAGAUUUUUUUCAAGAAGAUGGGCUCAAAGGGAAUUUUGAGAUUGAUUUAACCGACGCUUUCGGAAUGGAAGUGGACAAUGAAAUGGUUGCUGACGAUGACGCUGGAGAGGAGGUUCAUAAUAUGAAGGAGUUAGAAUUACUUCAGCGGUUACAGUUAGGACAGGAGAUUGAUGAUGACACUCCUCCUUCGGAGCAUGAGAAUGAUUUUAUUGACACGCGUGACAGCGAUGAUGAUGAGACUUAUGAUCCAGCUAAUCCUAAUCAUGACGAUUAUUUCUAAGACAUGUAUGGGCCGUACAAAUUUAUUUAUUAUUUGUCAUACCAUGUUAUUUAUUAAGUAUGUUUACUUUAUUUUGCACAUCUUAUACAUUAUGUUUUGUUUAUCUGUGCUAAUUGGUUAACUCUUGGCAAAUGCAGGUGACUCAACAAUGGUGGGCGGUACGAGGAAGAUUGCAGCGCUUUACGAAAAAUUAAAAGCUGCAGGUUCAGGGUCAGGUACAAGGUCAGACGCAUGGAGAGGUCGAGGGAGGCGUCGAGGGAGGGGUGGAGGCAGGGGUGAUGCACAGGCCGAGGAAACGGAGGGGGCACAGGUCCUUGCUAGAGGCAGGGGUCUGGGCAGGGGUCGAGGAAAGGGUAAAGGGGUGAGGCCCCCCUCGCCUGCGCCUUCGUCGUCGUCUGAGGAGGAGGUACCUUCCGCGCACGCCUCUAGUGACGAGGCGGAGGUACAGCAGGAGCAGGAGCAGGAGCAGGAGCAGGAGAGGGAGGCAGGGGAGGAGGCAGGGGAUUCGCAGUCCAAGAUCUGGUUGCGAGGUCCCUCAUCCCUCCCGAGGUGACCGAUCCCUCUUCAUUUACGCCCACUGAUUCAUCCCACUGGGGCAAAGUAAGUUCCUUUACAUAUUCUCAGUACUUUUGAUAUGCUGAAAUUUACAAUAGAAACUAAUAUUCUAUAUUACUCACUUGUGCAGGAGUUGGACUAAGCUCAGUGGGGGUGCCCACAACCGGAAGGUCAACGGCAUCGUUGGUCUUUUGUGUAGGCUACACUUCCCCGGUCUAGUGGUCUUCACUGGACAGGAGGAGCCGGCCUACACGUGGGACCACUACGUCGCCGCCGCCGACGUCGGUGAUUGUGACCACAGGCAAUUUGCGAACAAGGCAGAGCGGGUGAAGGCCGAGCUGUGGGUAAGUACUCGGAGCACUAGAUUGCUUAAUACACUAGCUUCGCUAGACAUUCUUGAAAAAAUAAUUGUUUGCAAUGUGUCUAUAUGCAGGACUUUUAUAGAUGCCAGGAGGGAUUCGAGGCUAGGGCGGCCUCCGUCAUUGAACAAGCCGCCAAGAAGCUCGUUAAGGACAUGCAUUACGAGGCGCGGGUUCAGGCCAUCAUCGACUUCUAUGCUGAAUACAAAAGGAUGAGGGUCAAAAAAGAAGAGGCCAGGACAAUGAACCUGACCAAGGAAGAAUUCAUGAUGGUACGUACAGAAAGUUAAUAUUUACUAUUUUUGAGAUUAAUUACGCUUCACUUCUUUUGUUAUAUGUCACACACUUGAUGAUGUAGGUGCCUCCGUGGUGGUGUCGAUCCUUUACCCAGUGCUGGGAACAAAUGGUGGACGUGUGGUUGCAACCCGGGUGGUUGGAGAACCACAUUGCUUGCCGGGAGCGGCGUCUGCAGAUGCCAUAUGCACCACACCAUCAAGGCAGCCUGAGCCUUGAUGAAUACAAGGAAAAAUGGGUACGUGAAUUCAUUUCUUUAUUCUCACACAUAAUGCACAUAAUACUGCAUAUUUUGUAAUCCUUUUGUAUUUUUGCCGCAGACGUCAUCACAUGAAGGCCAGGAGUGCUCCCGGUUCAAGGCAUGGGUUAUGUCCAAAAAGGGCAAGGCCACGGCAGACAUCGACUUCAACCCGGAGGACCCGCCCGAGGCAUACAGCCAUCCCAGCAUCCACAGCCGCGUCACCGAGUACACAGCAAUGGCGAGGGAGGUUCAUGGGCCAGAGUUCGAUCCGAGCUCUCAGGAUAUUGAUGCUGAAAUUGUGAUGAGGGUGGGAGGAGGGAAGAAGCAUGGCAGGUAUUGGAUUGGAGAUAGCGUGAUCGACACUGCCAGUACUCCCACCCUCUCCCAGAUCCGAGCAAGGAGCACGGACUCGAGCCCUGCGAUACGGGCACGGCCUACCGCUGCACAGUUACAGAUGCAGGCUCUGCAGGUUAUUCCUGUUUCUUUAAUUUUUCAUUCAUUUUGUACAUAUCUUGGCAUUGGCAAUAAGACAUUGGGAUGAAAUAUUGUAGGCCUAGGUGGAGGUAGAACGGAAGCGCCGGGAGGAACUAGAGGCGAGGAUCGAGGCGGAUCGGCAGCUAGAAAGGCAGAGGACAGAGUAGAUGUUCCAAUACAUGCAGAGUGUCUUUCACAGUUUAGGUCAGACUCCACCACCUAUGCCACCGAACCUAUUCCUGCCACCUCCACCACCUCCUGCAGCUACUCCUGUGAGUCACUCUCAACCUUACAAUCAAUCUAGAGUUAAACUAGAAACUGCAGGCACUACAGACUUACACUAGAAAAGUGACUAAUGCAAUCUCUAUAACUUUGUGCAGAAUCAAUCGGCGGCGUCCAAUGCAGAAUCUUCUUGGGGGCAGUGGCCACCUGCACAUACUCCUCAGCUUCCUCAUCCACCUCAUCCUCCUCAUCCUCCUCAGUGACUUGUGAACUAGAGGUGUUAGCUGUGGUAAAACUUGUGAAUUACCUGUUUUGACGAGAACUUGUGAAUGUUAUUUGUGUGCUUGUGAUGCUUGUGGUGCAAUUUAUAUGCAUGUGGUGUAAUUUAUAUGCAUGUGCUUCUCUAGUUGUUUUUUGAGAGGGGUCUUUUAUACGUAAUAUUUCUGUUUGUGUAGUAGGUGGGUGGAUACUUUGCCGAGUGUUAACACUCGGCAAAGAGGCCAUUUUCUGUUACAUCGAUGUCUUUGCCGAGUGCAUUGCCAAAACACUCGGCAAAGGUGUCAUAAAAUUUUUGCGGGAUUGUCCUGUUUGCCGAGUGCCAAGAGGAAGGCACUCGGCAAACUAUGCAACUUUGCCGAGUGCCACUGGGAAACACUCGGCAAACGGCUCAAAGAAAUCUGGCGGGUGGGGCCUCUUUGCCGAGUGCCGCAUAAAAUACACUCGGCAAAGAUAUUCUGUUUGCCGAGUGUCAUCUAAAAUACACUCGGCAAACUGUGUACCUUCACCGAGUGCAAUAUAUAAAUACACUCGGCAAAAUUUAAGGAUUCGUCGAGUGUCUGCCGUCUGACACUCAGCAAAGUAGCUGUUACCGUCACUAACCGUUAUCGCCUUUGUGCCGAGUGUUAUAUUUUGCCGAGUGUAUUGUGGCACUCGGCAAAGCCUUUGCCGAGUGCCCGACGGUCGACACUCGGCAAACCCACUGUUUGCCGAGGGAAACUUUGCCAAGUAGAGUUCGUCGAGUGUUACACUCGGCAAACCCUUUGCCGAGUGUAUUUGGACCUUGGCCGAGUGCUGCAAGAAUGUAAGGUGGAGCAGAAUCAGUAGUAACAUCAGACAAAAGGAAGUUGGAGGAGAAGUGAAAAACAAAAUCAGGUUUGCCCAAAAACUGGUUUACAUCUACUAGCCAAAAUUAUGAUCCAGCUAACUGCACUGUCUAAAUAACAUCAGGCUGCCUAAGUCCACAACCAUCAUAAGCAACUUUCAGAUACGUAAAAAGGUAACGAAUGACCAGAGACCAGACAGAUCAUGCAAAACCGCAGAAUAUAUACAAAUAUAAGAGCCCAACAGCCCUGAAGCAGAAAUCAAUCAGAUGCCAAGUUGGAGGCAUUGAUGGAUUUCCAAAGCUCAUGCAUCAGGCCGAGAUGUCAAGGAAAUGUGCCAAAAACAAACUUGCACUGAACGAAUCGAGGUCCUCGUCCUAGCCAUCCAAAUGUCCUAUGUCGAUAAAUUUUUUUUCUUUUCUAAAGAUGGCUAGAAAGUAUACAAUGUUAGCGCUCUCUGUAUAUAAUUAUACGUUGAAAAAUAUGAAACUAUUAUAAACUCGUACAAAUGUAGAGCAGCAUAUAGAUCAAUAAAUACGCAGAAUGAAAUAUUCUAACACCUCUUGAGAUGUACUGUGCCAAACAAAUAAGAAAAAUGUAAAAAGAAAAAACAUCCUUUCACCAUUGGCUCACGAAUGCACACCAACAUUGAAACCAGAUUUGGAAGAUAAUGAUCACAGAUGGUAGGGAAUGGCUCACAUACGUACCCUGGAUUACAGAUAGAUACUACUACUGCAGGGGCUACCAUGAUUUUGCACCACAUUUAAAGGGGGCGUUGAUUGCUGAUAGAAUAUAAUGAUUUUCACUACCAUAUUUAGAUUAGCAAAUCAUUAACGCUCACCACAUUCUCCCCAUACCAAAAUUAGUAGCCAAAAGGUAACGCACACUACAUCAAACCGUACCAAAAUUAGCAACCACAAUUGGACUUUGCAUAUCCAUCUCGCGGAGACCGCAUUGAAGGCCAGCCCUCAAUCGCCUCUAUAAAACGGAACACAUCAGCUCUCCUAGCAGUCACAUACCUCUCACAAAUCCCUAAGCGCUGCACAUACAGCCAUAUCGUCGUCCAACACGAAAAUAGUCGUCGUCUGCUUCACCUUGGCCUUGCUCGUCGCGUCAUAUGGUGGUGGGUUCCCCGGAGAAUUGAACAUUCAGCUCACGAUUUCGGGAAUACAACACUAGCAAAUGCUUUGAAAUCCUGCUAAACUUUUGUGCGUGGUUGCAGGCGCACAAAAGUCAUCCUAGUGCGUGCUAAUUAGGGAGUCCCGCUAAAAAGGAGGAAACUAUCAUAGACUAGUUUGUUGCCAGACGAUCGGAUCAUAUGAAUAAUGCAGCAUUGCUAGCUGUUCCAUGAACUUGGACGUACAUGCUGAUGCAUACGUAUUGCACUGAGAAAAAUCACGGCACGCUAAUACUCACCCAUGUCAUAUUAUCACGUAUGGAAAUAAAACUAAUUGGUUAACAUGAAAAAAAACAUGUUACAUUGUCACAUUACAAAAUGGUAUGCAUAGUUAAAUUGUCAUACCUGAUCACGUAUGAAAAAACCACGAUACGAAAAUGUUGCAUUGUUAAAUUCAUUUAGUCAAGUUACAAAACCAAAAUAGAAAGAUAUUUUUCCUAUUAAUCAUAUUUUCAAAAUUAAAAUAUAUAAAUAAAUAUUUAAUCUAUAGGAGGUAAUAAGGGUAUUGUAUCCAUCUAGAUGAAAGGUCCACAAUCAUUUCGAAAUAAUGCUCUUUUGCACAAUAAUUAAUAGGCUAUAGAUAGGUGGAACGAUAAUUGUAGACCCUAUUUUAAAGGGGCAUUGAUUGCUGAUGCUAGGGAAUAGAUAGCUGAAACAGUGAUUGUGCACCCUAUUUAAAAGGGCAUUGGUUAAUAUCAUAUCUAGAGGAUCAAGUCAUUCAUUAACUUCUAAAACCAAAAGAUAGUUGCAAACUCAGCGUAACGUUGCUUGUGGUGGAACCUGCCCACGAGGAUUCAAGUCCUCCAUUCAACACUCGUUCUCUCAUUUUUCUAUAUUUAUUCCAGGAUUUUCAUCAGCGUUACUCUUUCAACGGUAGGCGACGUGCCCAUUGAUAGCGAGACGCCAGUGGUGACUUCAUCAAUCUCGAGUAUCUAUCAGAUCUUGAAGAUCUCAUAGGGGUAGAGUUACGUGCGUGUAUUCAUAGGAUUGACUGUACGUGCGUUUGUGAACGUAUGCGAUUGCACUGUGUUUAAAAAAAGUAUUAAGAGUAUCUCCAACAAUAUUUUUUUCCUAAUAACUAUCAUAUUAAGGAAACAAGAGCUCCAGAAAAUCCUCCCCUAAUAAUUAUUGGUUCACCCUCAAUAACUCACCUCAACGGGAAGGAAGGGUUUACUCUCCCCGACCAUUAGUUUUUGCCGUAGCUCCAUCCCUUGCCUGAGCCACUGCCGCUGCCUAGGCUCCUCUCGACGCCCUCCUGCCCAUCCUGCGCCAUUUAUGUGGUGCUGCUUAGGAUUGAGAGAAAGAGAGGGAGGGAGAGAGGAGUAUUCGGGAUCUGCUGCAGCAUGCAUCCUCAAUAAGUCUGAGAUCCUAUAGUAGUUAUUGGGAAGGUUAUUGGGGGACUGCUAAAAAAUGCUUUAAUGCACACCAGAUCCCACGAUACCAAAAUUAGUAACCAAUAAAAUUUGCAUAUCAUUCAGGAUAGAAGGAAUUGAAGGCUAGCCUGCCAACACCUCUAUAAAAUGGAACACGUUGGCUCUCUAGUCAUAUGCCGAUCGAACACACAAAACCACUAAGCAGUCCAACGCCCCCCCAAAAAAAAACACUAAGCACUCCACAUACAGCCAUGUCGUCGUUCAACACGAAACUAGUCGUCUUUGGCUUCACCUUGGCCUUGCUCGUCGCGUCACAUGGUGAGUCCCUGGAGAAUGCUCAGCUCAAUGUUUCUGCAAAACUCUAGUGAUGCAUCCAAAUAAAAAUUAAAAUUUGUGGUUGCAGUUGCGACAGCAUCGUUCUGCGAAGAGACGACGGCGAUCUCUUGCAGCUCCAGCAACGACAUCUGUGAGACCACCUGUCUGAACAGGACAGGUAGUGGCCGCUACAUCGGUGGCUACUGCUCCAGCGACAGCGUAUGCAUAUGUAGGAAGACCUGUGGUGGUGGGCCCCCGUCGUCGUCGACGGCGCCGCGGGACGAGCCAGCGACGGCGACGACGUCGGGACAGCGUGGGAUGAGAGUUCUCAACUGAUUCAGUGGCACUGGAUUGGCUAGCUAGGGGCAUAUUGAGAAGAACAGAAACGUUUCGAUCGAUCGAUCUGCGCGUAUGCGUAGCCAAUAAAUUUGUAGUGAAUCCAUGUCAAUAUUAUGUUUCGGAAAUCUGGUACUACUAGGACAUAAGCUUUCUUUUGGUUCAAGGAAACAUCUAUUAAUCUAGGAAUAACCUCUAACGAGCAGUCCAUUGUAGAGCUCCUGUGUCGCCCCGCUCGGGCGACUCAGGCGGCGACUGCACACCCUCGCCGCCACCACCCCCUUCCUCUCCUUCCCUCCCUUCGCCGCCGCUGGAGGGGUCUGCAGGAAGCCCGCGCCGGCCCCUAGGAUCCCCUAGGAUCGAUGGCGGCGACGGGUUCUUCCUGCCCAGUUUUUGGCCGUGGGCGCCUGUCCCGGGCAGGGGAACGGGGCUGGGUGGCCAUGGUGGAUCCGCCGGCCAUGGUGAUGGCGGCGGCUUGGGGAGGCGGAUCCGGCAAUACCGGAUCCGUGCGGUGGCGGGAUAGUAAGUCAACGGAGGUCUUGGGUAAGUGGCGCGGCUCGUGGCGGUUGGACCCGGGCACGAAGGUGGACGCGGUGGCCCGGCCUAGCAGCGCACUGCUUGUGGGAAGAAGGAUGCGGUGACCACGGCGACUCGCCUGUGGUGGAUCUGGGAAGCCGCGAGGUCGUGGCCACGUGCGGUUGCGGCAGGAGGAUGGCUGUUGGCGCGGUGGCGACUCCGUGCAAGAGCAGUGGUGGCCAAUUGAGGGAGCGGAGGCCGCGCGUGCGUGAAGGCACGUGGCACACGACCGGCCAGCGGCGGCGGACGGAGAGCGGUUGGUCCGGCAUGUGGCCACGUGGCGGCAGCAAGGUGGCGGCCCAGGGCAGGGCGAGCGACAGGCCGGAGUGGAGCGUGGAGCGACCCUGUGCAGCAGACCGUGGCUGCCGUGCGAUGGCGUCGCAAGGAGAGGAGGUACGACAGCAUGGCAGGGGGAGGCACGACGGCAGCGCCGUCCCGACGGGGUUUCCAUGGCUACGGUCCUAAUACUGUUUGGCUGUGCGCGUGCGGUGGCUUGGGAUGGGAUGCUCCGGGCAAAAGCCUUUGCUGGCAAUCUUGCUGGUGUUGAUGGCGGCGGCACCCUAGGGCAUCGUUCUUCCCGUUGGGGGUGUUAUGUUCAAGCCCCACCCCUACCUGCAUAGGGUUCUCUAGGUGAAAACCCUAUCCAGAUCCUGGAUGAGCGACGACGGCGCCAUUGGCAUCAUGCUCUCCUUGGAGGCGUCCCUUCUAGAGACCCAACUCGGCUUCUAGCAAUACGGGUGACGCUGAUGGUCAUGGAAGACUACAGUCAGGGGCAUGCUGCAGGAUGGCGAGCUUGACGGGGAUUGCUGACCGCACAUGGUGGCGAUUGUAGUUGUGGUGGCAGCUGGGGUCUCCGCAUGCUUGUCGGGUUGGUUGCUUGCAGCGGACCACAACGGCUGGCACUGCUUGCAACUGUCAGUGCGGCGUGGGACUGCAUCGAAGGACAGCGCUUGCGGCACCGACAACAUGGGAAGAUUAGGCUUGCAGCGGACUGUGGCGGGUUGCUCAGCUUUGCUUGGGCUACUCCGGUGUGGUACAUUGUCAGCAGACCACACAAGUGACAUCUUAGGCUUGCUGGUACGGUAGCAAUGGACAUGUGCGCGGGUUAAGCAAUGAGGUGGAGUCAACCUGCGGAUGGCAGCAUCGCUGUUUGAUGGAGACCUUGAGGAGCAGGGCGACAUUGCUCACCAUUCUGAUGGUGACAUAUAAAAAAUGGAUGGAUUACUAUGGUGGACAUGGUAAGACCCCCGCACGCGGUGGUUUUCUUCGAGGCGAUGAGAGUGAGGUGGACUCCAACAACGGAUGUGGCGAGGCCCCCGCGCGUUGUGUUAUCAUGGUGGUGACCGCGAGGCAACAUGCGAGAGUCCGGAUCUGAUGGAAUCACUCUGUCGGGUGGAGUGUGGUGUUGCAACAACACUAUGACGAAGGGUUCCGCAUGGAGGUAGCCUUCUCGGUGAGGUGUGGUCUGUUUUCUCUAGUUCCUGAUGACACGGAGUUGCGCCUGGAGGUUUCGACGAACUCUUAAGCGUGAGAAUGUUUGGUGGGUGCCAUGAUAAAGGCUUUGGUUCUGCCACCAUGGCGAGUGGAGUGGUGCGGCCUCGUUGACGUUCCAAUCCAACCGGUCUAGUGUGACGAUUUCGAGUUGAGUGGCUACCCGCGUUGAUAUCCCAUUCGAACCGGGCGAGUCUUUUUUAUUUUUCUUUUCUUUUCAUUUUACUGCCUAUAACCUCCAGAGCUGUAGUCUUAUAUUUUUUUUCUAUAUCAACGAUCUUGUGCGGUUAGUUAAAAAAAAGAAACAUCUAUUAUCUUGAUAAGAAUCUUCUAUGUAUCUCAGUAAUAUGCAAAAAGAAUCAAUAUUAUAACUCUCGAGGUCUAGAAAAUUUUCAUAUUAAUUAUAGGAAGAAGACACUAUCUCCCACCAUUGGCUUGGUAUAUGGCCGGAUUUUGACGCCUGCUGGUCUAACACGCAUGCAUACGUGAGAGAUACGUGCACUUCAGAAAGAUUCAUGCCACUUCUUCUUUCCUCUACAUCACGCAUGUCCAUACGAGCUUCAGAACAGCAACAAUUGCCAUCCACAACCUUAUCCUUGUCCGAAACCGCUAUAAAAUGAAAUCCCCAAAAUGGAGCCCACGUCAGGCCACGUCUACUAUAAACAACGCCCGUUCGAUCCCUGUCUUGUUUCAAUCAAGCGGCCAAAACACGAGCUAGCGUAGUUCUUUUCCAGCACAUUCGUGAACAUGCACUACAUUGCUUGCUUGAGCUGUAGUGCGGCUCGGCUCCAUAAAUCUCAGGACUCUUCCCGUACCAACGCGCGUUACUCGAGUUGUCGUGUCGUUCCCCUUUCACUAUUGUAGCAUAUUUUUUCUCCAACAACGCUUACAAUUCCAAUCGCUGCUAACUCGCACAAAAUAAACUCCCUGAAGGGCAAUAAAAAAACCUUGAGCACAUCUCUCGAGAGAAGAAAAAAGAAUUCCCGUCAACAUACUACUCGGCCUAACCCAAAAUACUCUCAGCAACAACUUUGCCGAGUGUUACACUUGGUGUCUGGCACUCGGCAAAAUUUCACUCGGCAAAGUAACCUUCACCGAGUGUUUUCGGUCGGGCACUCGGCAAAGCUUUCACUAAGUGCCCAGAAAACACUCGGCAAACCAUUUUUUCGAAAAAAAUAAAAAAAGGCACGCCGACACCGUCGGCCGCACCACCAGCACGUCACCACCAUCCACGCCACCGCCGCCGCCACCACCACAGCCGGCCACCAUCCACGCUUGCCGCCAUCAUCCACGUCGCCGCCGCCGCCACCACCACCACAGUCGGCCACCACCACCACCAUAGCCCACCAACCACCACGAGCUGCCUCCCGCCGGCCACCACCACAUCUCCACGCCGCUGCUCCUGGAGCCCCCGACGCGAGUCCCUACCGGAUCCGGGGCCCCCGACACGAGUCCUCGCUAGAUUCGGGGAGGAGGGGCGGAGUCCCCGCCGGAUCCGGGGAGGAGGGGCGGUGCGGCGGCCGGAUCCGGCCGGAUCUGGGGAGAGGGGCGGUGCGGCAGCCGGAGACGCCGUCGGAGAGAGGGGCCGGCCGCGCGAGGGAGGGAGGAGGGGAGAGGAGGGGGAGGGGCGCCGGUAGGAGAGGGAGAGGGAGAGGGAGGGAGGGAGGGAAGGAUGGUGGCGGCGGCUAGCCGGCGGCGGGGAGAGGAAGGUGGGGCGGGGGGCGGUGUUGCACGGAGGAAGAGGAGUGGGGCGUUGGGCGGGUGCAUGGGUGCGAGCCGAGGGCAGUGUUGCGUCGGGCGGGUGGGGUGCUGGGGUAGGGAGCCGGGACGGGAGAUAUAUUUUGUGAGAUUUGCCGAGUGUCCUGAUCUGGACACUCAGCAAAGAUUUUUUUUUAAAAAAAAUUCUUUGCCGAAUGUGAAAAUAAAACACUCAGCAAAGCCCUCUUUGCCGAGUGUUUUUUUUAACCCUCGGCAAAGUCCCUUUUUGCCGAGUGUUUUUUCUCUGCCGAGUGUUUGUAGCUCGGCACUCGGCAAAGAGCUUGUUUGCCGAGUGUUCGAAAAAAAUACUCGGCAAAGAAAAAACACUCGGCAAAUUUACGGUUUCCGUAGUGAGAAGCAUCUCCAAAAACCUGCGUCAUUAUUGCAGAACAGGAGUCGAAAUACUGGUAGAUUUGACAAGGUAUGUUUUUCAUAAAACGAUGAUGCUUCUGUUUCCCAGGCCCCAAAUAUGUGACCCAAAUGUUAUCUGAAUUCAAACAGGAAAGGUUCUAAGCACUCCAAUUAUGUCGCUUCUCUCUACGGCUAAAGAUAAAUCAAUAAAUUCAUAGUGUGUUUACAUUCCAAUUAUGUUAAAGAAACAAGGAAAAAUCCAAAUUACUUCAAAUAUAGAAAAAGUCUGAAUAAGCCUCUAAACUUUUUCUUAGUUUACUUUGCCCCUAAAUUAUACCAUUUGGUUCAAUUUAUCCGUACUAAUUUAUUAUUUUAUUUCUCCAUGCAUAAAUGAAGUCUUAAGUUAAUUUGUUUCGAGAUAAUUGCAGGUAUCAUAACUCAUCAACGUAUUAAAAAAUACAUCAUAUGUUUUAUUCUUAUUAUUUUAAUAGGGUAUAACAUUUAAUAAUAAAUUCUUGGGAUACAAAAUUAUAUAAAAAUAAUGAUGAAAUGGAAACAGCAGCUAAACCCACACGAAGGGCGUGGCAAAGCCGCCCGAGGUUUCUAGUAUGAAAUGAGUUCUGGACCAAUAUUUUUAUUAGCAAGGCCUGCUAGAUCAAAUGAGUUUUGGACCAAUAUUAUUUGAGCCUCGAACGUAGACACAAUUUAUUUUUCUCCCAUGGCAAGGCACAUGCAUUGUUGCUAUAACACAGAAAGAAAAUAGGCAACCAAACUAGCCACAUAUACACACCGGAGACCUUUCUAGCCAUUAGGAAAUGAUCGACAACUAUUGUGUCCAAAUUUAGUAGCCACUGAAGGCCCUUCUAAUACUGGUUGGUGUUACAACUCUCCUCGAGAUUUUAGGAUCCUUUAUGGAUUACUUCAAAAAUAAAAUCACCUCCUAUUUAGGGUCUAUUAGGUUAGGAUAUAAGCUAUGGAAAAGCUGUUGUAGGUUGUGAGCUGUGGAAAAAGCUGUUCUGAGCUGUGGAAAAAGUUGUUGUGAGUUGUGAGAAAGCUAAAAGCCGUUCGGUUGGAAUAGCUUUGAAACUGUAGGUUUGGUAAGAAAUGUCUGUAAUGCCCCUAAAGGUCUGCGAGACUGUUGAUAUUCAAAUUGAUCGUAAAACACCGUGUUGUACUUUUUCACAUGCAAAUUACCAAUUUAGAAAGGGAUUUUUUUUAAAGUUUUGCAUCCACCGUUAACAUAUGGUCCACAUAAAUACAACGAUAGUAUUUUACAAAAGAUAUAUGGUUCAUAUAAUGAUGUCCUCCGUUAACAUGAUUAUCUCUCUUUUGCACUAACCAAAGCAUCAGCUAUUCUACUGCGAAUGGUAUUCAUGGUAUCCUCAUUCUCUCCAUCAUCUGGAUUGUCAUCUCCUUGUGUUGCCAUGGCACUUGUCUGGUGUAGUAGGUACCCCUCAUCCGCAUCACAUCUAUCGAACUCCCUAUCCAAAUUGCUGUCACGGAUAAAAUUAUGUAAUGCCAUACAAGUUAGAAUUAUAUGCCUCAGAGUACGAGUAGGAAAACUUGGAAUGCCCUUCAAAAUACGCCACUUCUACUUCAAGACUCCGAAAGUCCACUCAAUGACAUUUCGAAGAAUGAAUGCAAGAAAUUCGUACUUCCCUUGAGGAGCACGCCCAUUACAAAGUUGAAACUCUAGUAUACAGUAUGUGCUUCCUUUAAAAAGGCAAGAUAUCCUAUUCAGUUUGGAUAACCAGAGUCCAUGAGGUAAUAUUUACCUAUAAAACCAAAUCAACAAAGGCAAAUAAUAAUAGAAAUAUUGAUAACUUAGUACAAAAACAUGUAUACCUUUAGGAGGCACGGGAAAUGAAGGAAAAUUUGCUAACGCAUGAGUCAAGAUUCGUAUGUCAUGUGCAGAGCCCGGCCAACUAGCAACCACAAAGAUAAACCUUAUGUCAAAAUCAAAAACAGCUAGCACAUUCUAAGAUGUGUAGCCAUGUCGACAUGUGUGGUUGACCACCAUGUCGACAUGCGUGGUUGACCACUUCCUUUGCUGGCACUAUUACUGGAACAUGUGAACCGUCAAUACAUAGGUCUAAUAACACCUUUGAAAUAAGGCUAGAAAUGGUCCUCUUUGGCCUUAUCAUGCUCAGUAGAGAAAGUAGGAUCCCUUGUCUUGAUAUUGUCCUUUUAACUUGCGCAAACAAUUCAGCACUUCAUGAAAUUUAGUGUGAAAUAUCCAGAGUGACUAGGUAAAAUAAUUUUCAGCUUGUGAAAAUGAUUGGGGUCAUCCAACGAUCCGCAAGAAUAUCGCCAAUGACUCCAUUGAUGAUACAUUAUUACUUGAUGUCAAACCAUAGUUCGAGAUUAGCAAGUCAUGCAGUGCCAUGAAAACAUAAGUGCUCACUCAAAACAUCUUAUAGAAGUACCUCGGACGACCCAUGCACCUCAUAACCCAUUGAAGUCCAGUUUCUGGUGUUUCCUUGUAUUCUCCUUUGUACAAAUACCAUUCAGUGCACUGGUAACCCAUUUGACCGAUAAUGGUAGCCUGCUGGGAAAGUUCACCUAGAAACAGUAGACCCUUUUGACCUUUUUUUGCCAAAUCUUCCAUGUUGCUAGCCAUCUACACAAGAUAUUAAUGUAUUAAUGAUUAUGACAGCAAUGAUAUGUGCAGAAUCAAAAUGUGGACAACAAUGACACAAUCAAAAUGUGGAUAGCAAAAAUAUGAAUAAUAAUGGCAUGACUAAAAUAUGUACAACAAUGAUUUCAAAUGGUUCUCAGAUAACACAAGCAAAUAAUCUUUUAGAGCACAAGUAACAUUAUUUCAAAUAGUUCUCAAAUAACAAAAGCAAAUAAAUGGUUCUCACAAUACAACAUUAGGAAUAAAUAACCGAAAGCUUCUACAUGUGCUUCAUCAACUCCUUUGCAUGCUCCCUCUCAAGCAAAUCGAACCUUCCUUCAUUUGUUUCCAGCAUGCUAAAGACCUCCCUAAAUUUAGGCUUGACAAUUAGAAAGGUGGCUAUAUGCAUUAGAGCUGUUUUCUCUUGCACCCCACAAUCUUUCAUCAUCUUUAUGGCCUCUGCAUUAUGCUAGAGACAAGGUUGGUUGGAGGUGUUGAUUAUGCUUCAACACUUGUGGAGAUCUUCUCUGCUGCAAUUUCUAUCUUCAAACAUGUGUUCUUGUAUAGGCGAAAGAAUGGACUCUUUUCAUCCUUAUCUUCAGUAGCAGUAGAGCAGUCCUUGCAUUUCUUUUUUUUCCUAGUUUUAUUUCUUCAAGGCAGCCAACUUUACAUCAUUUUCUUCAUGAGUUUUUUUUACCUCAGCCACAUCCUCAUCAUUUGACUCAUCAGAGAAAAUAUUUCCUGGACAAGAUGCACUAGCACCUCUAACAUGAACCUUAUCAAACAACAUAUGCAGAUCAUCAAGGUGCUCCGGUCCUUAUUUUCUGAACCUCACAUGAUUGCGUUUGAUAUCUUUAUCAGGAUUAUUGCAUCUCUUAAAUUAAAUGGAAGAAAUUAUCAAGUUAGCCCACGUAAAAGGAACUAAAUUGAAUAAUGAGCAAAGACAGGACAAUUCUUACAGCAAGGUGUUCAUCCCACCAUUCCUUAGAGCAAUCAAUAGUUUGCUUUGCCUCAUUCCAUCUAAGCCCAGUGGCACAAUUCUUGAACUCCAUAAACCAUGUAUAUUCCUUUUUCAUAUUGUCCAACUUAUUCUUCGGUUGUUUCUUUGUUUGCUUCGGAUUUGUUUUCUCUUCAUACUUGGUAAUUCCACAUUUUGUUUUUGAAUAUGAAUAUGAAAUCGGAUAAAGGAAAAUGUUGAAAAUCGGAUUCAGAUGCAUCUAUUUGACAUCCAAAUUAAAUUUGAAUAUGAAUACAGAUAUAAAUAUUAAUUAGCCUUUUUGGUGGAUACGAAUAUGGAUAAUUUGGAUUUCCAAACAUCCAUAUCCUCCAUCCCUAAUAAAAAGUAACCAAAAGAUAGUAACUCACACCACAUCACAAAAUACUCAAUUAGUAUCCAAUAGUUGGAUUUGCAGUUCCAUCAAUGACAUAGCUAUAAUAAUGAAUUGAAAGACCAGCACCAGCCGACCACUCUACAAAUACCGAACACAUAUCGUCUCUCUUGGUGCAUACGCAGCUGUGCAGCACCAGCACUCCUCCACAUCUUUGGCAUGUCGUUCAACAAGAACCUAGUGGUCGCUGGCUUCACCAUGGCCUUGCUCGUCGCGUCAAUAUACGGUGAUUUCCCCGGGGCCAACGAUCCAUCAUACGGUGAGUUCCCCGGCAAACAUUCAGUCGUUCAGCUCAAAGUUUCUCCAUGUUGAGACGCAAGUUAAUCUUCCAAAUAAACUCGAUCUUGUGCUUCAGGCGGAAUGGCCGGAAAUUACUGCUACGAGUGUACGGGGACCGUGUGCACGUCCGACGCGACGUGCCGCACCACCUGCCUGCGAAAGGAAGACCCCUACGUCGUCGGUGGCUACUGCUUCAAGGCCGCUUCUUCUUCCUCGUGCAUGUGCAUCAAGCGAUGCGUUGCGCGGUUCCCCCAUGGCGCCGCGGGACCAGCGUCCGCUUGAGAUGCUGGUGAUCAACUGAGUCAGGGGUGUUUGAUACGAGAUGCUAAACUUUAGCAGUGUCACAUCGGAUGUUCGGAUGCUAAUUAGAAGAACUAAACAUGAGCUAAUUAUAAAACUAAUUGCAGAACCUUGUGCUAAUUCGCGAGACGAAUCUAUUAAGCCUAAUUAAUCUAUCAUUAGCAAAUGGUUACUGUAGCACCACAUUGUCAAAUCAUAGACUAAUUAGGCUUAAUAGAUUCGUCUCGUGAAUUACACUUCAUCUGUGCAAUUAGUUUUGUAAUUAGCCUAUAUUUAAUACUCCUAAUUAGCAUCCAAACAUCCAAUGUGACGGGUGUUAAAUUUUAACACCCUAUUACCAAACAGCCCCGUACAUGUGUAGCCAGCCAAUGGCGUGCAAAUAAAUUUGAACUGAAAUAAUGAAUUCUUGUCAAUGCUUAUGUUUUGGAAUAAAUUUGAACUGAAAUAAUGAAUUCUUGUCAAUGCUUAUGUUUUGGAAAUCUGUUACUAGGAUCAUGCAAACAUAAGUAUCCUUCCAGAAAUUGAUGAACUGGUGCCCAACAAGCACAACCAAAUCGAGUAAUACAGUGUUAUACCUACCCCUGCUAUUGGAGCCAAAUGCUGCAUACCUCUUAGUAAUAAAUCGUUCUAUCCAAAUCUAUGAUGUAUCCUUUGCUAUUGAUACUAAUAAAUCGAUGCGCACCAAAAAUCCAUUUCGUUCUGAUUUGCGGGGUGCGCAAAUUUCUCAAUUUUCCAGCCUCACGCCAGGAACGCAUAUUGAUUUCUUGCUGGCGAGAUGACAAAAUAUCUAUGCUCAUUGAAGUCAAUUCAUACAAAGAACAAGAAACAGUAACAGUAGAUAGUAGGUUUCACAACCGAAACAUUUGCAAUUUCUCCAUGCAUCACAUGAAAAGGAAAAUAGAAAUAACCAUGUUACUGUAGCUGCUCCUCCGUAUUGAUUGAACUCAAGUAACCAGGUGAUUAGUACCACUACGGGAAACCGCAAAUUUGUCGAGUGUUUUUUCUUUGCCGAGUGCCAAGCAAAGAGGGGGUUUGCCGAGUGUUUUUUUGACAUUCGGCAAAUAAAUAAGUUUUUUUUCUCUUCUCACCUCGAAAUUUUUUCUACUCCCCACAUACAACAUGUGGUACUCCAUGUUAAAACUUUGUAAAUUUUUUGAUUUGUUUGCUAUAUUUAAUUAAUUAAUUGCAUUUCAAGAAAAUUUUUGGUAUAAGUCAAAUUUGAACUGCAAGUGAUUCAAAUUAUAGAAUAAAAUGAGUAGAAAAAUGAUAUUCAUGUUAUUUAGCCUAGUUUGAGGCCUUACCCAUGAAAUGAAAAGAAAUUUUGAACAUUUUGUUCAGAAAACACAACCACGAACGUGUGACCGAAUGAUUUUUAAAUUGUAAAAAAAGCGAGCGAAUUCUGAAAAUCAUGAGAUUUAUCAUGAUGUGAUGAUAUCAUACGUGGAGGUUGUGGUAAAAAAUUGAGAAGGUUUUGCACAUUUCGUCACAUACGAUGUUUACAAACUGAAGCAUCUCCGAAGAAGAAUAGUAGCGUUGAGAAGAAUUCGAUUACAUUUAGAGUCAAAGUGACGGUCAAGUUUUAAUUUAACCACAAAACUUUUUUUAUAUGCAAUAGAGAACAUAUAUUGCUGCAUGUGUCAUUUUGCUAAUUUUUGGAACUGCUGGAUAUUUUUAAUAAUGUAUUGAAGGUAAUUAUAGAAUGUUUGCCGAGUGUUUUUCUUUUUUGCACUCGGCAUACAAAGAGUUUGUCGAGUGUUUUCUUUUUCACAGUCGGUAAAAAAAAAUUUCUUUUUCUUUGCUGAGUGUCCCACAUCGGACACUCGGCAAACGUCAAAAAUAUCUAUUUCACCCCGUCCCCGGCCCCCAACCUGAGUGGUUUUGCGGCGUCCAGCCCCCGAGCCUGGGAGCUAGCUAAACCCCUGGAGAUAUUAGGAGUAUUAAUUGGUGCUUAGCCCCCGAGUUCGGGAACUAGCCUGUGCCGUUGAAGGCAUGCUUAGUGGGCGUCGCGAUGAGCGUCGUCGCCAAAGCUUGACCUAAAAGAAAAAAUGUGUACAUUAUGUAGCAUAUUUGUAGGAUUUUGAAACUACUAAAAUUUAUUCAGUGAUCAGUAUGAAAGUUGUGUCAUGCUCUUAUUUCGGUCAUAUUCUUCUCCUGUUACGAUUAGGCCCUCAGUCUCUGGGUAGCUGUUGCCACUGCGUGUGUGAGAUCGUUGUCUCAUAUACGCGUAUGGGCUUAGGCGUGACAGAUGCGCCUGAGGCUUUCACGAGUUAAGGCGUGUUCUGCUCGAGAAGAGUAGUGACCUUAAGAGAAGACAAAAGUGAGAGGAGUUGCUGCUGCGACAAGAAAGAGACUGCACGAUUGCGAGUCAAGCUCUUGUUUCAGUCAUACUCUUCCCGAGUAGUUAGCCUGUUACGCUUAGGCUCUCAGUCUCUGGGUAGCCGUUGCCGCUGCGUGUGUGAGAUCGUUGUCUCGUAUACGCGUAUGGGCUUAGGUGUGACAGAUGCGCCUGAGGCUUUCACGAGUUAAGGCGUGUUCUACUCGAGAAGAGUAGUAACCUUAAGAGAAGACAAAAGGGAAAAUUCACUGUUGCGAUAAAAAGAGAGCGCGGUAGCGCAAAAGAGUUUGCUGCCCUCCGGCGAAUAGAGCGCGCGUUGCACGCAAGAGUUUCUGGCGAGUAGAGCGCGUGUUGCGCGCAAACGGAAAAUAAGCCGGAAAAUAAUUUAGAAAAGUGACUUAGCUUGAUUCGUGGAUGAUUGUUGAUGAAGCCGUGACGCUCGUUGAUGAAGCCGUAACGGUUGUUGACGAAGUCGACUAGUCGGAGGCGAUUCGGACUAGUUAGUCAAUGAUGCAAAGUUUGCCCCGACUAAUUUUUAGUCGAGACGAGUUGAAGUCGUCGACGAGCUGCCCGUAGCUGACGGAGUGGUCGGCAAGCUGAUCGUGGUUGUCUUGUCGUGGGUGAGGAGUAGUUCAUUUCGUCUCGCCCGACCCAAGGUCCCGGGGUCGGACAUGCCCGACCCUUUGAGGAUGGAACUCCGCCUCGCCUGACCCUUGGUCCCGGGGUUGGAUGCGCCUGACCCUUUGAGGGUGGAACUCCGCCUCGCCCGACCCUUGGUCCCAGGGUCGGAUGCGCCCGACCCCUUGCCGCAAGGCUUCGAAUCGCCCGACCCCCGGCUUAGAGGGUCGGACUUAUCCAAGACCCCGAGACAAGGGUGCGUUUUGAGCGUAGACCAUGCUUGGCUGAAGUAGUCGGCGUGCCUACGACAUAGUCGAUGAAAUCAUCGGCGAGCCGCCCGUAGUCGUCGGCGAGCCGCCCGUAGUCGUCGGCGAGCUUGCGAUGUAGUCGGACUUUCGAGUUGUAGUCAAACUCAGAGUCGCUGUCGGACUUCGAGUCGUAGUUGGACCCAGAGUCGUCGUCGGACUACAAGUUGUAGUCGGACCCGGAGUCGCCGUCGGAGUUCGAGUUCGAAUCGCGGUGGAGCCCAAGGUCACCGUCGGAGUUGACGAUCUGGUGCCGGAACGAUCCGGCGCCGUCGGCGAUGCAGAGCCAAGAUCCAAAAAUGAAGGUUGCGUCCGCUUCGAUAGCAAAGAUGGGCUUGAUGACGACUGUGCCAUUGAGUUCGCGCUGAGAAACUUGACGAGUUCCCCUACCUGGCGCGCCAGCUGUCGGUGUUUUAGACCGGCAACCCGCCUAGGGGGUACCCUAGGUGGUCUUUUAUGCGGUAAGGGUCGUCGAGAAUCAAGGAAUCAAUGGUGACGUAAGGAACACGAUUUAGACAGGUUCGGGCCACUAGAUCGCGUAAUACCCUACGUCCUGUGUGUUGGUUUGUAUUGAUCUUGGAUGAACUGGAGUUGUUGUUGUGUGUCCUAGGCUUGGGUCUUGAGGUAUGACCUGCCGAGCUAGGUACCCCUACCCUCCUUUAUAUACUCAAGGGGGCAGAGUACUAGUCGGAUUACGAGGAGUCCUAGUAGGAGUACACGGGACUAGUCCUAGUCGGAUUACAGGGGAAUCCUAGUAGGAGUCUGACUUCUUCCUUCCUUGCGGGUACUGGGGAUGUAUCCCCGACAAGCACCCCCUCCUUCCUUUGUGCAACACCAACCACCCGCCCGACACCCCAGCAGCGCGCAACGCCCCCCUCCUCUUCCUCCGCGCAACACCGGCCCUCCACCUCCCUCUCCCCAUUGCCGGCUAGCUGCCGCCGCCACCCCUUCCCUCCCUCCCUCUCCCUCUCCUGCCGACGCCCCUCCCCCUCCUCUCCCCUUCUCCCUCCCCGGCGACGGCGCGGCCCGCCCCUUCUGGCCGGAUCCGGCUGCGGCGCGGCCCCUCCCGGCCGGAUCCGGCUGCGGCGCGACCCCUCCCGGUCGGAUUCGGCGGCGGAGCGGCCACCCCUCCUUCCCCCGGCGAGGCCCCCUCCCCUUCUCUCCAGCAACGCCCCCUCCCCUUCCCCCGGCGAGGCCCCCGCCCCUUGUCUCCGGCAGCGGCGUGGCCGCCCCUCCUUCCCUCGGCGAGGCCCCCUCCCCUUCCCCCGCCGAGGCCCCCUCCCCUUCUCUCCGGCAGCGGUGCGGCCGCCCCUCCUUCCCCCGUCGAGGCCCCCUCCCCUUCUCUCCGGCGGUGGCCCCUCCCCUCCCGGCCGGAUGUGGCGGCGUGGCGGGUGGGAGCGGGCAAGGUGGUGUGGUGGCGGGCAGCAGCGGGCAAGGCGGUGUGGUGGCUAGCGUGGCAGCCGGUGGCGGCGUGGUGGCCGUGGCCGGCGGCUGGUGUUUUUGUUUUUUUAUUUUUUCCAAAAAUGUUUGCCGAGCAUUUUUUGACACUCCGCAAAGCAUUUGCCGAGUGCCCGACGUUUGACACUCGGCAAAUCCACUGUUUGCCGAGGGAAAGUCCGCCGAGUCCAGUUCGCCGAGUGUUACACUCAGCAAACUCUUUGCCGAGUGUUUUUGGGCCUUCGCCGAGUGCCUGGGGCACUCGGCAAACUUCCUGUUUCCAAUAGUGUACUUAAUAACACCAGAAUCUGUACCACACAAAUAAAAAGAAAAAAAAUCCAAACUACUCUCCUCAAAUCUAACCAAAGUUUGGAUAACCCGUAAAGUAAUUUUUGGUUCAGUUUACCCCUAAACUAUGCCAUUUGAUUCCAUUUACCCCUUAAUACAAUUUAACUUUUUUGUUUGUCCACGCACAAGUGGAGUCUUAAGUUCGUGUUUUGCAAGAUGAUAGCAGAUAUCACAAUACAUGUUAGAAAAAUAUAUCAUGAUUUUUUAUUAUUAUUUGAUAGGUAGGAUAUUUAAUAAUAAAAUUUAUCUUUGAGAUACAAAAUUAUGUAAAAAAUAAUGAUGAAAAAUUCAUAAAAUAUUUUUUAAUAUAGAUUAUGAUGUCCACUACCACCCAGCAAAGUUUUAAAUUAAAACUCAAUUUGUGAAUGGAGAAAAAAAGAACAAAUUGCAUUAUGGGGUAAAUUGAACCAAAUAGUAUAGUUUAGGUGUAAAUUGAACCAAAACAUAGUUUAGUGGUUAUCUAGACUUUCGCUAUAUUUGAAUGGAGUAAUUUGUUCAAAAACAAAUCACUAUACUCAAUUUGUCAUGUAUAUAUGUGCAUGUGACUACACAGCCGUCAAUUAUCACCAAAUAUAGUUAAUAAAUUCAUUUUCACGCAAUUGGCUACAGAAGCUCACGAAUACACCAGUGACCAGAUGAUCUGGUUCACUGGUUGUAAAUCUUAUCUUGGGCCGUAGAUAGCUGGUACAAUCAUUCAACACCAUGAUUCGAGGUGCGCCUGAUUGCUGCUACAUUUUGCAUAGGGUACUUUAUUCUCGGAUAGGAUAUUCCACAAUUUAUUCAAAUACCAAUCUGAAAUCCGAUAGAUUCGGAUACAUCCAUUUGACAUCUAUUUUAAAAUUGUAUAUGAAUACAGAUAUCCAUAUUAAUCUUUUUGGUGGACAUGAAUACAGAUAAUUUGGAUUUCUAGACAUCCAUGUCCAUCCUUAAUAAUAAAACUAACCAAAGGAUAAUAACUCACACAACAUCAGACCAUAUUCAAAUUAGUAUCCAAUAAUUGGAUUUGCAGUUCCAUCAAUGACAUAGCUUGAAUGAAUUGAAAGAUCAGCACCAGCCGACCACUCUAUAAAUACCUAACACAUUGGCUCUCGUGAUGCAUAAAGCGCGCAGCUGUGUGUAGGGUGCAGCACUCCUCCACAUCUAGCCAUGUCGUUCAACAAGAACCUCGUGGUCGCUGGCUUCACCUUGGCCUUGCUCGUCGCGUCAUCAUAUGGUGAUUUUCCCGGAGCCAUGGCGUCAUCAUACGGUGAGUUCCCAGGAGAACAUUCAGUCAUUCAUCUCAAAGUUUCUCCAUAUUAAGAUUCUGUUUGGAUACCCUAUGUUAAACUUAAAGUUUAACACUCUCAAAUGGAGUGUAAAGUUUAACAUAUUGGGGUGUUUGGAUGGUGUGCUAAAAAUUAACACCUUUGGUGGGAAAUGACAACAGUGCCCCUCCUCUCCCUCCUCUCCUUUGCCCCUCCUCAACUUCUUCCUUCAGUAUCCCAAUCUGGUCAAUAUCCUUCUUGAGCAGCAGCGUGUCGAGCACGGCGUCGGGAUCGGCCGCGGGGGGUGCCGCUGCCUCCUCGCCGUCGAACAUCCCGGAGGCUGCCACCUCCACCAUCUCCGUCACCUCAUGUCCCUCCACCCGCGACGAGGACGCGCACCAGGAGAACAGUGACGACGCGGUGGAGGCCUCAUCGAGGCUGCGGUGCCGGUUGGAGGAGGAUGAGUCACGGUGGCACUGGUCGGAGGCCGCGUCGAGGCUGCGGCGCGUGCACGGCGUCGCAGCGGGCGCCUCGCCGGACAACGGCAGCACUAGCUCGAGCUCCGUGAGGCCUAGGAGCACGGCGACACCGGAGGCCCGGAGAUGGGCUAGCACCGCGGCCACGACCGGGGUGAAGGAGUGCAGGCCGUGCUUGGAGAGGAGAUGAAGGCGCGGUGGCGUGGGGAGGACCUAGGGACACGCCAGCGGGAGGGGAGGACCGGAGGGAAUGGCGGCCGGAGGGGAUGACGCCCCCAACGCGCCGUCGAAGCAGGACCGCGGGCACCCGCCCAAGGUGCGGGACCCCAACGCGGCCGCCGCUGCUGCCCAAGGUGCUGUCCACCAGCUCGCCACGCUGUGGAUCUGGGGCGGCGUGGGGAGGAGACGAAGGUGGGCGGAAGGGGAGGACCUGCGGGCGGGGAUAGCCGCCGGGAUGGAUGGCCGGCAGGAGGACCUGCAGGCGGGGAAGGACUGGCGGCAGGGGAUGGCUGGCGGGAGGAGAUGCCGGUGGGAGGGGCGGAUGCGAUGCGGGAGGAAGAAGAGGGGCAGCCGAGGAGAGAGAUAGAGGGGCAAUCAGGGAAAGUGUGGACUGGAGGACCACUUUAACAGGUUUAACAAGUUUUAACACCCUUUUAAUGUGUUUAUGAAAUUGGGGGUGUUAAACUUUAACACACCCUUUUUAACACCCCUGUUUAGGAGGCCAUGUACUAAAAGGAUGUUAAAAAUGAGAUGUUAAAGUUUAACACUCCUGUCCAAACAGGCCCGACACAAGUUAAUACUUCCAAAUAAACUCGAUCUUUUGGUUCAGGCGGAAUGGCCGGAAAUUACUGCUACGAGAGGACGGAAACCGAGUGCACGUCCGACGAGACGUGCCGCACCAUCUGCCUGGAAAAGGGAGACUCCUACGUCGGUGGCUACUGCUCCAAGGUGGCAUCUUCCUCGUGCAUAUGCAUCAAGAAAUGCGCUGCGCAGUUCCCCCAUGGCGCAGCGGGGCUGGGACCAGCGUCCGCUUGAGAGUUGUUGAGAUGCUGCAGCGGCGACGGAAGGGGAUGGUGCUGGGUGGCGAAAAAAACUGAUCGAUUUAGUGGCGCCAGAGUGCAUUCCGAUCCAUCCUGCCGCACGUGUAGCCAAUGGCCCGCAAGCAAAAUAAUUUGAACUGAAGUAAUGAAUUCGUGUCAAUACUUGUUUUGGAAAUCUAUUAUUAUGAUUAUGCAAAUAAAGUACUACAGUGAAUUCCACCCGAGCCAAUGCUGACAUACUUCCUCCCUUUGAAAUUAUUGGUCGUUGGCUUUUCUAGAUUUAUAGACAUCAUUAUGCAUCUAGAUCUACACUACAAUACGGGAUGAUCGACUUCUAGUACCGGUCGGUAACCCUCCUUUAGUACCGAGCGCCCGUUCGGUACUGCUAGUUCGAUAUUAAAUACCAACGCCCAGUUGGUGAAACCAACUGGUACUAAACUACAAGCCACGUCGCGCUGUAGCGCAUGACAAUUUAGUACCGGUUGGUUAACUUGUACUAAAUGUUAUUCCUUUUCCUUUUCCCCCUUCAUUUUCCCUUUAUUUUAUAAUUUGUAUUCUUAUCUGACGGAGCUUUUACUAAUAAUAUUACGUUAAUAUAUCAACCCAUUCAAAUCAUUAAUACUUAGGAAAGAUUGUAUAUGCAAUGAAAUAUAUACAGGUCUUAGAGAGAACAAGUUCAAAAAUCCAUAAGAAAAGCAUAGGGUACCGGUACAUCCAUGCAUGUUACAUAUUUUAUAUGUUUGCUUCACUUCCUUAGAUAUGGAACAUAGUUAAGGUCUCCAAUCAUUCAGCCAAGAACUUCAUCAAAAUAAGCUAGAGCACGGAUGAGUGCACUUUCCUACACUUCACAUGGACGGUCACAUACACUACCAUAAAUCUUGAACAAUGGAGAGGUAAACUGAUGUAGCCUAUACAAAGUGAUAUAAGCCUGAAGCUUAAAAUCUCUGUUGCGUAUCAUAUUUGCAUCUUGGUAACUCAAAUUCAACACAUUCAAGACUAGUUCCAGAAACGCACUUAAGCUCAUUGACGCAAUGGUUAUACCAAAGAAAUCCUAAAAGAUGAUCAUAAUGUGAUAAAAGUUAAAAGAUGUAACAUAACUAAAGAUGUAACAUAAAAGAAUGAUUAGAAUGAUAAAAGAUUGUUCCAUACUAUGUCAUGUUGAUUCAACCGACAAAGUCCUCCCUCCUCGAGCUGCUUUAUUCGAAAAUAUGAGAAGUCUGGCAUAAAGUACCCAUGAUCUUUAAACUGUUGUAGGCAGGCCUCCACGUCGGUCCUAUGAAAAGUUAUCCUAUUUGAUCCUUAAGCUUCAACAAUAUCUUUGAGCCAUCUAAUAGGGUCGAUAAGUUACAUUUUAUGUAAGUAAAUUUAGAAAUUAUUCAUGUGUAGUAAAAAAAUCAAUUACAAGAAGGAAACAAUAUUACUAUGUUGGGAACUGCUCCUUUGCUUCGAUCACUGGUAGGUAAGUCAAUGAUGUGAUUAGGGAAGUGAAUUCCUAGAGGACAAGUCAAUGGUGGCUCCUCGAACAUGUAGUGUCCAUGGCCGCCACCACCAUGGCCGUCACCACCAUGGCGGCCACCUCCACGGCUGCCACCACCAUGGAGAAAAGAACUUCCACUUGGCAUAGUUAGGCCAAACUAUCCAAAUAAAAUUGUAAUCAGAUACAUUAUUCCACAAACGUCAACUUCAAUAGUAAUUAUGCCGUAAAACAUCAUAAUUCACGAAAUGCUAAGAAGAAAAGAUUAUCCAAAAUAAUGGAAGAAAUUUACAAUUGUUGGUUUAGAUCUCAUGUACAUUGUGAUAACUAAUCAAAACACAUUUAUUAUCAUAUUGCAAUUGCCUGGAAUAAAAAUGAAAAAAGGUAACAAUUUCCUUAAUGAAUUUACUUAAAAAAAUGAAAAAAAGAAGAAAAAAACCAACCGGGACGCUCGGGGACAAGGCUGUCGGGGAUAGAUCCCCAGUACCUACAAGGAAGGAAGAAGCGGACUCCUACUACGAUUCCUCUGUAAUUCUACUAGGACUCAUCCCAUGUAAUACUACUAGGACUUCUUGUAACCGACUAGUAAUCCCGCCCCCUGGAGUAUAUAAAGGAGAGCAUGGGUCCCUAGAUCAGUAGGCAAAGACCUGAGAGAACCACCUCAGGAUUAACCUAAACCAAGAGGACCAAAACCUCAACACAAAACAACACCCAAGCACAGGGCGCAAUAUACAACACCCCAAAUAGAAAGUAGCGUGUUACGUUACUCUAGUAGCUUGAACCUAUAUAAAUCUGUGUCUUGUGUCCUCGCUUUUACCUUCGAGUUCCAGGCCCGGUGAUCCCCCACCAACCAAUCUACUACCUCAGGAUACCCCUCGGUAGGUUGCCGGGUAUAAAACACCGACAUCUGGCGUGCCAGGUAGGGGUGAUCGUCGAGAUCAUCGGGCGAGCUUGAAGGACCUCAUCAUGAUGAAUCUACUCAACAAGACAAGAACGUUGUUCUCCCAUCCAAUCGAUGACUCGGUGUGCAACUGUGUUGGAGUCUAAGGUGAAGUCGCCGGACAAGCUAAUUUCGAGCUAGCAUCUAUUCUCGCCGAAUUGGAAUUUGAAAUGGAGUGCAGAGUGGAGCAAUUCACCUGCCGUUAAUCAUCUCCAAGCAUCAAGAUCGAGAUGGAAUAGAAUUGGAUGGUGUGAAUAUGGAAUCCUACAGGGAGUCGAUUUCCUUAGUCGAGUCUGACGUGGAGACCAGCUUUGUUGAUCGGAGAUGGAAAAGCACGCCAAGCAACAAAAUAAAGAAACAUCUACUGUUAUUCCCUCUGGUGUUGGAAAUCAAUGGUGUAUUCAGCUAUGCGCACACCAAAAAAGCUACCAGAAGGACUUCAGCUUGCAUGGCAACACUAACAAAUCUCCGACGAUGCGAUCGACUACUUUUGCAAGAGUAAGACGUCUACGCUGACUCGCUAAUGACUACUUCAACUAUUCGUCUCGACUAGAGGGCGGGCCUCAUACCGUCAACAACUAGUCAGAAUCAACUCCGACUAGUCGGCUUCAUCAGCAACCGUUGCGGCUUCAUCGACAACCGUCCAUGGAUCAAGCUAAGUCGGUUUUUUAAUAAUUAUUUUUUCAGCUUGUUUUUCGCAUGCAGGGCAACGCGUCGAGUACUUUUUUAUGUACUCCUCUCGACGAUAAUUACCCUCCAGAGCUACACUUUGCCAAUUACUCUUGGGGCAUGUUGACCGAUAGUCGUGGGCUUGGUACACCAAAUUAUGAAGGUUAUCAAUACGGGUUUGGAGCCUACCACGUCUGCAUCCCAUGAAUUGAAGGGUCCAUAAACUACCAAAACCGCCUCAAUCAAUCGGAUAACGCACACAACCAUCAUUAGGACCCACAUGUCAGACUACCAUGCGAAGCGAUUGCAAGAGGGACCACCAGGGGUUCGGCCAAACCCUUGAAUUGGCCGAACCGCCUCUAGCUCCUGUGCUGAUCAGCUUCCACGUAACGAUGGUUGACAGCUUCCCUACGUUUGUUGUAGGAGAUUCCCCGAAUAUUCCUCAUGUAAACCACCUCUAUGAGCCUAUAAAUAUGAGAGUAGAGGCUCCAUUCUAGGACACACACUACAAGUGAAUCAUUCUCUCCCUCUUAGUUUCCAAGUUAGUGGAGUUAGGCUAAAGUAGUUCUCCUUCAGGUUCUAGAUCUUCUUGGAGUCUAGGGUAUGGCUCUUGUAGCUUACAUUCCUAGGUUGACUUUAUUCUAUUGAAAGUAUUCAUCUUCUUUAUAUAGUACCGUGCUUGGUUCUUCUAUGCAUGAGUUAGAUUUAUACCCUUGCUAAAUUGAUGUGCUAGGCUUAUACGCUCGUAUGCUAGUCAUAUACCCUUGCUAUCUUAGUAUAGGCUUAUAUACUCUCAUGUAUGCCUUGAGACCAUGCUUCAGUACAUACUCUGUGUGCGUAUAUACCUUGCAUAGCUUAGUUGAUCUAUGCUAUGGUGUCGAUUCAAUGUCCAUACUUAUGGCGGCUUCAGCCCUUGUCACAAUAGGUCGGGUUGGCUGGAGUGUUGUUUACAAUGCAAGCAUGGUGCUCGGAUUGAUUAGCUUCAUUGGAUAUGAGUUUGCCCCACUGGUUGCUAGGGGUAGGCAGCAGGUGGUGACAGCUAUGUCUCUCCUUCAUAAUCCCCCAUGUUCGGGUACGCUGUAGGAGUUCAGAAAUUAGCAGUAACUUUGCCAGGCGGAAUCGGUACGGGUACUAUCUCCCCAUGUGUGCCUGGGUGCAUUGGCCUGAGUCCUAUACAAUAUGUAUGUAUGUUAUGCUUGUAUGAUCUAUGCAGUAUAUAGGAAGUACAUAUGAACCUAGAGCUAACUCUUAGUCCUUCUCCCUAACUUUGUUAUCUUGAGAUGAUUCAUGUGUGUGUCAUACUACUCCUUUAUCAUUAUCUUACCCCUACCUUGAGUAUUGUCUCUAUCCAUCUAUGGUAUACUCAAAUGCAUAGUAAACUCUUUUGACCUACCCGCCUUCCUUGGGGAAAUACGAUACCCAUAGGAAUACUCAUGGGUGAAAUGCUACAAUGGUAUAUCCGUGCGCUUGCGGAUUUAUCGUGAUCGUUAAAUAUACCAACAGUGGCCUGAAAGCAGGUCGGGAGGAUGGAGGUAGCGAGGGGCGCCGGCGGCAGCGGGGAGGAGGUGGCCCAGUGGCACGUCGGCAUGAGGCAGGGAGAAGGCAGCGCGGCAGGCAAAGGAGCUGGGGUCGAGGGAUGGGGCCGGCAGGGAGGCACCGCGGGGACGGGGGUGAUGGUGACGGCAACGGGGACGGGGCACAGCACAGGACGGAGGGAGGAAUAAGUGCAGCUUGUUGGAAACUGCUAAGCGUUUGGAGAAGAUGAAGUAUUUGUAGGUGCAACACUUAGUACCAGUUAUAGCCUUUGCCCGGUACUAAAUUGCUCCAUUUAGUGCUGGGUAGGGCUUCUAAUCGAUACUAAACUUGCUAAAAUGGUGGGAGCAGAAAUUUGGGGCAUUUAGUACCGAAUCCGGACCACGGUCGGUACUAAAUUGCUCGAUUAGUACUGGUCAGGGUUUCCAACCGGUACUAAGUGUUGCCAAAAUAGUGGGAGCUGAAAGUGUCCACCUCCAGCAAUUUUCUUUCUUGCGCACACUAUCUUAAUUCUAAUAAAAUGUUUCAAUCAUUUUGACAAGGUUGUCACAUGUGUGUGUGUGUAUGAAAUAGUAGAGAUAAACAUUCAUCACAAAUAUUAACUAGGGUACAUUACAUAUGAAAUUCAUCGUACAUAUUAAAUCUUACAUCAAUGAGAUACUUGGAACCUAGAUCAUCCACAUCAUGACCACUAAUCAUACAGACAUACAAACUAUGAUUAAUAUCAAUAAUGUGGAUUCUUAAGAACCUAUCAACAUAAUAUUGUGUAUAUAUGUAUGCACUAUCCCUAGCCUUGUAGGGCAUGUGGAAUGUCUCUCCAAAUAUUCUCAUCGAAUUCGUGGAUGAUGAUAAGGUAAUGUCGGCUUGCCAACCGCCACGUACUCGACCCGGGUCAGCUCUUAUGAAUGUCCAGCCAAUGUUCCUCAAUACCUGACGUAGAACUUCUUUUAGACCUUGGUCAGCGUGCAUGAAGCUAUUAUACAGUGCGUCCUUGAGUCAAAUGGCAACCAAAAAAAGUGUGUUAGUAUACAUAUUGGAAAAUCAUUACAAAACAAAAUUAAAAAUAAUGACUAACUGUAAGUUAUAUACAACGGGAGAUUGAUACGCUGGUGAUAUCCAUUUAGGCAUUUGUGUGGCGUCCGGCUCAUCGUAUUCGAACACUUUAAUCUUGAAGUAAUUGUAGUCUGGAAAUACGUGAUUUGUUUGACGUUCUAUUUAGAUCAGUGUCUUCCUCACAGCACUACAUGCGGCAACAUGUGGCUGUUGUGCAGCAGUAAAAUUGACAUGGAUAAUAAUUGUUUGACCAAGUUGUUGCUCUCGCAUGCCUGCAAAAUUAAUGGAUAGAGAAACCACAUAUCUUCCUUUUGUCGGACUCGUUUGUUCAUGUAGCACCAUAGGAGCUUGUUGAGUCACGUUAGUUAUUACAUGUUGUAACCACUUGAUUGGUGAAACAAGCCUCAAUACAAAUUAUAAAAAAUCAUUAAUUUGAUAUAAUGAGUAAUAAAAUCAGUAUUAGAAUACAAAGGGCGUAAGUACCACACUUCGGCGUAAGUGCGGUUGUGUAAUGGGCACGGGUCCGUGACCGACGGGGAAGGAAGCGCCAACAGGCUGCGCUGGUGGAUCCGGGGGAAACGUAAGUGCGCUCGGGUCUGAGCGACGUAUCGGCAUUUUGUCCUACAAAAUUAUAUAAAAUACAUAACAAAAUUAUUAGAGCAUCGCAUACAGUUUUUGGGAGACAUAUAUGGAUACGGAUAUACAAUUAUUAUUACCAAUCAACCUUCGUAUCAUUUACUAGUUCGACAAAAAGAAAAAUGCUACAUUAUGAAAUAAGACAAUAAGGAUACAUUAAAGACUACAGAUGCUUCAUAUAGUGGACUUCAUGGAGUCAAGAAUCAAAACCACCAAUAAUUCUAAUAUAUGACUCAAUCUCCUCUCAAGUCAGUGUUUGCACAUCAGUAAUCUCAAUGAGUGUGCUCGUUUGCGUCGGAUCCCACCAGCUCUUGUUCACCUCAGAUUUCUCGACUGAAAUUACAUUGUUCAUGCAAAUUCCAAGUCUAUAGAGAGCCACCUCCACUCCUCCAGUACCAAAGAAUAGUGUAAGCAUAUUUAUGCCAUGUGCAGAUACUAUUCUCGGUAUUGGAGGAGCCGAGGUGGUACAUCCAUUGCCGGUCCAUCUGCAUCGUAUUACAUGAACAAUGAACAUAGGGUUUUGUAUUAGAUAAAGAACUUGAUCAAUAUUAGGUACGGGAAAAAAUAGAGUAAAUGUGUUUAUAAAUAAAUUAUUGGUCAAAGAAUACAAUUAUUGUUAAAUUAGAGUGACAUGAAAAUUACACGAAGAAUCCUAAAAUCAACAUUUUCCCCCUUCCAUUGCAUACAUUAGCACACUGGAAAUGCUACAAUAAAAUUAUUCAUUCUUCUCAUUCUAAAAUACUCUCCUCAUUCUAAAAAAUUAACAAAUACUCUAUUUGUAACAUAAAAUUCAUUUCAAAAACUCUUCAUUCUCCUCAUUCUAAAAUACUCUCCGUUCUCCUCAUUCUAAAAAUAUCAACAAGCUAAGUACUCCAUUUGUAACAUAAAACUCAUUCUGAAAAACUCUCCAUUCUCCUCAUUCUAGCUAACAUACUCUCUAUUCUAGCUACAAAACAUAAAACAUAGAAUACUAACCAUGAGAGGAGAAAGUUGCUAACCUUUACCUCCACUAGGUCAAGUGAAGAAGAAGCUCGGGCUCUCGGUCAAAUGGUUGAGCUUGGGCUGAACAAGAAGCCCGGGCUCUCGGUCAAAUGGUUGAGCUUGGGCUCGAGGAGGAAGAAGAAACUCAUUUUAUCGGGUUACCUUUAGUACCGACUGGUGGGUAGAGCCGGUACUAAAUGGUUGCAUGUUAGUACUGGUUGAAGAUACCAGCCAGUACUAAAAUGCAUAAACACCAUUUAGUACUCGCUCCACCCACCAGCCGGUACUAAAUGGCUUCCUGGGGAAUCUAGUCGUUGGCCACGUGAUCCAAGUGCUGCCAUUUAGUACCGGUUGAGACUCCAAACCGGUACUACAGUAGCUCCAGUGGCACUAUGUGUGAUGAUCGGUACUAACAUGUUGGAUAAAUGCUCUGUUUUCCAGUAGUGAUAAAUUCAUGUCAAUAAUUAUGUUAUGGAAAUAUAUUACUAGGAUCAUGCAAACAUAAGUAUUCUUCUUGAGGUUGAUGAACUGGUGCCCAACAAGCACCGUCCUACUGUGCUACCUUCUCCUGCUUUUGGAACCAUUACUUCCUUACACUACUACAGAACUCCCUAUCAUCGCCCAUUUGCCUCAAACCGAUGAUUAUAAUUUGUCACCGUCGGAUUAUUACAUAAUCUGGUAGUAAAAAAAUUGAUCCGACGGUAAUAAUAUAAUAUCACCUCUAGGUCCAAUUAUGAGCCAGCAAUGAUGAUUUUAUUUGGUGGAGGGGUUCGGCCGGACCCAAAAUUGUAAUUGAAUCGAGUUGUCUGAUGGGUUCUACAUCCGUCCACCUUAUCCGCUCGUCUCCUUCACUUACCGGCCCCUCAAGCUCCCAAUCUCCCUCACCCGAUCCUCCCUUUCUCCCUCUUCGCUGCCAUCCUCCCUCACCCCCUCAACAUUGGCCCCCUCCUUCUCUCCCCUCCCAUUGGGCCCUCCCUCUCUCCCUCACUGCCGGCCCCUCCCUCUCCCCCCCUCAACGUGGGCCCCCUCCCUCUCGUCCUCACCCAUCGGCCCUUCCAUCUCUCCCCUCUCUCUCGUCCUCACCACCGGCCCCAUCCCCCUCUCCCUCACCUGUCGGCCCUUCCUCUCUCCCUCACUGCCAGGCCCCUUCCCUCUCUCCCCUCCCACUAGCCCUUCCCUCUCUUCCUCUUUGCCGCCCCCUUCCUCUCUCCCUCAGCGCCGGGCCCUCCCUCUCUCCCUCAUCGCCGGGCUCCUCCCUCUCCGUUGGUCUCCUUCCCUCUCCAUGGCUGCCCCUCCCCCUCUAGUCACCCCUCACUAGAGAGUGCACCGCGGCGAUGCCUGUGAGGAGCGGUGGUGGGGCGAGGUGUGGAGACAGGGAGCAGCAGUGAGAUGACGCGGCAAGCGUCGAGCACGGUGGGUGGUGGGCACAGUGAGCAUCUAGCGCGGCGGGCAUCGAGUUCAGAUCCGAUGCGCCGAUGACCUCUCUAUCUAUGUAUCUAUCUCUCUCCCCCAGGCAGCGACAGGCUGCGGUGGGCGCGCGACGGGUCUGCAACGGCGCUUCUACGCAGAGAGCAUUUUCAUGUUACCGACGAUUAUAAUUUAUACAGUAGGCUUACAACCGAAACAAUGUCAAUUUCCCCUUAGCAUAACAUGAACAGAAAAAUAGAAAUAACAAGGUUACUAUAGCUUCCCCUCCGUACUGAUUGAACUCAAUUAACCAGGAGAUUACUAUAUAAUAAUAACGCCAAGUGAAAGAAUCUGUACCACACAAAUAAAAAAUGGCCCGCUAUCAAAAACAAGACAAACUUAACAAGACAUUCAGCCAUUCAAAAUUUGUUCAAAAACAAGUCAUACUCAAUUUUGCAUGUGGUAUACGGCAGUCAAUUACGCAAUUGCCUACACAAGCUCAGGAAUGCACCAGUGACCAGAUGAUCUGGUUGUGAAUCUUAUCUUGGGACAUACAUAGCCGGUACAAUGAUUUGACACCAUAAUUCGAGGUGCGCAUAUUGCUGCUACAGUGAUUUUACUCCAUAUUUAGAGGUGCUAUAGUCAUUUAACUUCUAAACCCAAAAGGUACAGUAAUCGCACACCACAUCUCACCGUACCCAAAUUAUAGUAACAAAUAAUUGGAUUUGCAUAUCCAUCUAAGCCAUAGAAUGGCUGAAAGGCCAUGCCGGUCAAUCCCUCCAUAAAUAUCGAAUAUAUCACAUGUUACUUCUCCAUCCUCCUGUCAUUUUUCCAACCGGAACUAAUUAAUCGGGACUAAAUAUCCCCAUCUUUAGUCUCGGAUCCCAGUACCUUCCUUUAGUCCCGGUUGGAUUCGUUUUGCACCAAAUAUGUGCGUGCAUGGUGCGUGGGAUUCGAACCCACAACCUCAAGCCUUACGUGUAGCUUCCUUAUUAUCUCACCUACACAGCACAUCUAAUUAAGUAGGGGAUGCAAUCCUUUUAUAGUAACUCGUGGGAAACCCCUUUACCAACAGGACUAAAGUGUCUCCAUGGACUACAAAAUUUAGACUCGGGAUUAAAGCUGUUUAAUCCCGAAUAAAAAUAACCGAGAUUUUUGUUGAGAAUGGAAGGUCGAUUUUCUAAAACCGUGUGGCCGCUGGCUUCACCUUGACCUUGCUCAUCGCCUCAUACCGUGAGCUCCCAGGAGUCAUCGCGUCAUCCUACGGUGAGUUCUUAGUUAGGAGAACAUUCAGUUAGCACAAGAUUUCUGCAAAACACUGCAGCUAAUCUAAUGUCUGCAAAAAUAAACUUUUUGCGCGUGGUUACAGGCGGAACAGCACUCUGCGACGAGAGGCUCGGGGUGAAGUGCACGUCCGACGCGACGUGCGUGACUGGCAAAGAAAGGCGGCCGCAUCGGUGGCUACUGCUCCAAGGAGCAUGUCGUCGGCGACCCCUCAUGCGUAUGCACCAAGAAGUGAGGUGGACAGUCGACGGGGGCGGCGCCGGGGGACGAGCGCCGUCCGCUGGGAAGCCGGCGACGGCGACGGCGGGACGGCGUGGGGUGGGAAUGGGCUACUGAUUUAGUGGCGCCAGAUUUUGUUAGGAGCUAGUCACCAGCAUCGAAAAGCAGAGUAUUUCGAUCCAUCAAUCUGAGCGUCUGUAGCCAAUCGCGUGAAAAUGAAUUUGAAUUUUGAAGUGAACUAGUGAAUUCAUGCCAUCUAUUACUAGGCUAUUAUAAGCUUUCAGUUGGAUCAUGCAAACAUUCAUGGACAUGGCUAUAUUACGGCCGGUCGUAAUAUAAGCAUUCCGUGCAGCCGCUCCUUUUUUGGAAAGGAGACAAAAACCUGCGGUGCCAGCUUUCCUCUCCUGGCACCUCAGCUUCCUGCCUCCCCACGCAGGAAAAGGGCUCAUGGUGUCUGCCAAUUCCCACGCACUUUCCCGCUAGAAACACAUGAUCCGCGCCAAAAAGCCACCACAACCACGGUAAAAACAGAGACAAGCUAAAGAAUAUGCGAGGAACAGGGGAAAAAAAAAGCACAGCUACAGACCCAGAUAUCCUCUCAUAUUCAUAGAACUAUGCAGAAAAGUAGGGUUUAUAGUAGACUAUUUACACAGACAAAAUUUGCCUCCCCCUCCCAGAAUCAAAAUAAAAUUGCAACACAUGAGGGCUAAAACUGCAACGAUAAUAGUAUGUGGAUCCCAAAGAAAGCUAUCAACCUAAUAUGCAAUUCCAGAAGUUUUAUGCACAAAAAGUAUAUCUUCAAAUUGAAAAAAGCAUCAUUCAAAUUCGCCUAUUGCUUCCACCAUGUAAAUUAUGCAUCCAGGCAUCAUUCAGUAAAUCGGGCAUCAGCAGGUCAAAAUCUGCAUAAAAAAAAUUAAUCACAUCAAGCAUCUUAAAAAUUGCACAACCUACAGGUAUUUUUUCCUGCAAUUUAUAUUUCAUAACUGCACCAAGAAAAUCAAUAAUCAGAGAACAUAUAUAGUAAACUAAAAAAACAAAGUCAAAUCAGACUGAAAUACUAGCUUCUAUAUCUAGUACUAGUACUAGUAGUUGUUGUUAAGCAAAAGACAUCCUAAUUAACUGUAAUCGCUUAACAAUUGCAAAUGCUUAACUGUAAAAUGAAAAAAUGCUUAACAGUGACUAGAAAAUGAUAAACUAAAAUGAAUAAAUUGCUUGAUGAUUUAGCAAAAAUUUCCUUUCAAAUGAAUCCUAAGGGGGUAUGUGGUACUGACUACCAAUCUUUUCUUUCUUGGAAAAAUGGUAGCUGAGACACGUUUCUAUUGCUCCAGUACAUGAUGCAAGCUUUGGAUAGUAUUUACCAAUCUGCAUAGUUUGAUGUAUGUGGUAUCUCAAUUAAAAAUCCCUAAUAUUCCAACUGGUCUAGCUGCCGCUAGCAUGCUACUACAUCGCCAAACAUAAAGAACCCAUCAAGAUCAAAACUUCAAAAGUAAAAAGAAACCCGCAAAAAAGGAAAGCAGGCUAACUAAGGGGAUGAAUGCUCGAGGCAAAGAGCGGGAAUGAGUGUAGGAUUUGCAGGUCAACCAAGUUACACCGCUCCAAAAGCAUAGGGACUUUUGAGUUAGGGACCGCAGUUGUUCGGUUGAUUAUGAAAAAAGAGCUUGUGUUUGUUAAUCUAUUCGAACCUAAUCCAUAUGUUAAAUAUGCAUUCCCUAAUUAGCUAGUCUGAUCGAAAUAUUGCUUGUAUAAGCAUUGCUGGUAGUUGCAUGUUAACUAUUUACUGAAGUCAACCAAACAACAAAAAUGGAACUUCAAAAAAUUGCCUAAUGAAGUAUAUUUUUAUGCCUAGACAGAAUACUAUUAUUGCUUAUUGGGAACCAACAUUAUUUCCUAUGUAGUGCAAAAUUAAUUAUCUAAUUCCUACCUAUAGCAUGCCUAAUUCAGAGCUAUGUUAUUGCCUAAUAGAAAAUGGAAUGGGAAGAUAUUCAUAUAGAACUAUCUUUGCAGUUUUAUUACCGGGAGCAGAAACUUUCUCAGAUCAUGAUCGUGCAAAUACGGAAAGUGCUAGAUUAGAAAACAAAACUGCUAAUCUCUAAUGGAUAAUUUGUCUGUUGAAUUAAUAUAAUUUGCCUACAUAUCCAAAAAUAGCUAUUACAGAAAAAGUAUGAUAGAUACACUAUGUGAAAAGCUAACUUUGAUGAACUACCAGGAACAUUCACUCUAUAAAUUCAUCUACUAUGAUGUAUCCACACACCAGCUCGCAAACUUGGGUGAAGUUAAUAAAGCACUAGGCAUCCAGAUGUUGUAUGCUGCCCCAUUGAAAACAAUAGAAUUGUCCUUCCCACUCAUGCGCAAAGAACUACAUACAAACGAACAAAUAUAUUACUCUGUUCAGUAACUUGUAGCUAAAAUCACAGAACAGUUCUGCUCACAAUAUGUAACUAAGAAGCUAACCAAACCUGAAGCAGAUAUCAUGGAUGGUAAUAUAGUGAGGAAUCAGCUUAUAAAUCAUAUUGAAAACACAUGCUAGAACAUGAAAGUUGACAAAAAAAAAAUCUCAACCACCGAGAAACUAAUGCUAGAUUGCUUAUCAGGAUUUACCUGAAGUUAACCUGGCUGCGUGCUUGAUUCUGUUCAUGACCGACAGCACAGAGAAAGCUAACAACCAAAAACUCUGCUGACAGAUUUUGGUUUUCUGCUUCAAUCACCGUUCUAAAGCAUGCACCUAGAUAGAUCCGAAAAUGUUUUCUACACCUUUUACCCCACCAAACCAUUGCCAUGUCAAGCUACUACUAGUAGUAGAUACAGGAAGUCCAAAACAAAAACAUACCUAUUUGGUUUCGUCCGUGUGCAGGGGCUCCUCCUCCAUCCUUGAUUUGGGAUUCUCCCUGCACCAAAAAAAAAAUAAACCUGAUAUGCAUCGAUGAAAUCCGGGGAAGACUCACCUCCAUGGGCUCCCCUUUCUUCUCCACCCCCGAUCUACACUUCCCACCGCGUGAAAUGAAUGGGCGCUGGAGGAAAUGUUCAUCCGUGAGUACGUGGAAGUGGGGCCCGGGGAGUUGAUUUGCUCGUGCUUGGGUGGAGCCGUGGAGGAGUCGCCCAGUUGAUCAAGUGGGCCGUACGCCCGUACGGGGGCAACAAAAUACGGCCGGCCUAAUUAUAGUCUUUACCAACAUGUAUAUGUUAUCUUAUUAUUAGUUCGGGCAACAACAGAGGAAGCUCAACUCUGGAGGCCUACAUCUAUCUCGGGAAAAAUCAAUUUCUUCAUUAUUGGAUUGAAAGUAAAUUUUACCUACUAUACAAAAACUAUUAAUAUUGUAUCGCUUAUACUCCAUAAAGUUCAAAAUUAAGCAAUCCGUGCAACAAGUAAUUUUGUUGUGUGCAUAUACGGUCAUGGCAUGUCAUAUCAGUGUAUUUUGCCACGGUGGCAGCAUGACGUGGAUUCCCGGAGGUGUGUCACCUGCAGCUCACAUUCUGACUUAUGACACAUAAAAGGGCUAAAACUUGUGGUUGCCACAAUCACAAACAAGUUUAAGUAGCGGUUUUUAAUAUUUACAUUGCAUUUUUUUAGAGUAUAUUGACCUAAAUGGCACUCAAGGCUAAGUUUAGAAAGCAAGAUCUAAACUUUUAGAAUAUGAACUGGCCAUAUAUUUUUUUACUCCAUAGUUAAUCACAAAGGAAGAAAACGUAUAAACCAAACUAUACGUGGGGCAACCUUACUAGCUAUGAAAACCACAACUGGUUGUUGCAUGCCAUCUCUAGAUCAUAUAUGCCAUUACGAAUCACAUGCUCUCAUACUCUCUUCAUGUUCUUUUUAAAAAAAUAUAGUAUUAACGUAGGAAUAAGAAAAAUUACAGUACUUGAGAUUGUUGAUGGCACUUGCAAUCUUAUAUGAGUUCAUAACACAUGGGAGUUUUCCAUAUAAAAAAAACAAAAGCAUUUGAGGAGAGAGAACACAAAAUAGAAGUUACACCCUUCAUCACAAAUUAUAGGUUGUUUUGAUCCUAAAUUAUAGAUCGUUUUGGUUUUUAGAUUCAUAGAUUUUGUUAUGCACUUGAUAUACCCUAUAUCUAGAUGCACAAUGAUAUCUAUAUAUCUAGAAAAAUCAAAACGACCUAUAGUUUAGGAUGGAGGGAGUACGUAAGAUCCAACCCUUGUGUUGGUUUUUCCUCAACAGUUGCUAUGGAUUCAUGCGCUGCAUUUAAAUGUAACUGAAUGACAUCUCUUUCCCCUUCAACCAAAGACUUUUAGGUGCAACUAGCAAAGUUCACUGGUGCACGUGGUGCUUCUCGUGGUGCCGUAGGUAAUGUAAUUACGAUUUGCCUAUCCGAGUUUGCCGGCAAGACAGGUUACCAAAAUUUGGUGACUUCAGACAAAACUAAGGAUAAACGUGAGGGGAUUUUCAUGCGAGAAUGACCAUUGCAUGCAAGCCUUGGAUGCUUUCUUUUAAUAUGUAAAUAGGCGACAGCGUCAGUAGCACAGCAAAUUUCUUCCCAAAAGCCAUAAUUUAGCAAAAGGCAAAGAAAUUAAGUGACCCUAGUUGCAAGGAUGUCAAAGGAGGAUCAGGAUAACAGAAAAUCUGAAUGGAAGUCCAAAAACGAAAACAGGUUGCCCAGGAACUGAUUACAGCCACAGGUCAAUAAGUACGGUACGGUCCAGAUAGCUGGCAAGUUUGAUCCAAUUACUAGCAAAUAUAAAUAGUCGAAAUUUCAUAAGGCUCCCUAAGUCAGCCAUCAUGAGCAGCUUACAGAUACAUAAUAGGGUACCAAAUGACCAUAAACAGAUCACCCAAGACCACACGAUAUCUGGAUAACCAUUAGGACCUACAGCCCUGAAGCGAGUCAAUAGAGUGUUAAGUUAGAAACAUCGAGGGAUCUCCAAAGCUCGCGCACUAGGUUAGCCGCUUCUGGCGCAGCUCAUCCAAGACGUUGUGGAACUGUCGUUUGGCAUCAUUGUGUGCCUCCUCGAACCUGCUACGUGCUGAUUGGAGUCCAAAAAUCUCCACUUCUUGAUGCUCUUUGUCCUUUGCUAUCUUCUGUGAUUCCUGGCGAAGGCGCCCAAGUUUCUGCUCCAGCUCAGCUAUAGCUCUAUCCUUCUCAUCGAGCAGUUUGUCAAUUCGGGAGGAGGAUGCUGUCACCCCCACAAUCUGGGAAUUCAGCUUCUGUAUUUCUCCAAGACAAUUGGUGCUAUCAGAUUUUAUGUGGAGCAAUUUGGUCAGGAUGCUCUGCAAAAAUUGGACAUCAAAUCCAUUUCUCUCUAGAUGGCUCAGUGUAUUCAUCGUGUCCUCAAACCAUUCCAUGCUGUGGUCUAUGCUUGCUUGUGUUAUAAGCUUCACUGUGUCAGCAAACGACACCAUCAGACCUAAUGCCAUUCCUUCACGCAGUCCUGGCGGAAAUUGUCGGAGUGGAAGGAAAUGCGGGUGUUGUGGUACCUCACAGAACACAUUCAUUUCUUCAAUUAAAGACCACAUAGGUGAGUUCUUAACGAACUGAACAUGAGAGGCAGGCAAGUGCGAAGGCAUAGAGCUCCCAGAAGCAGAGCAGCUCCUUAAUGAAGAAUUGUCCAUGGUGCACUGUGAGCUGCUAGCAUUAUGAAGACGUGGUAGGAUUGACCUCUCAUCCACUUUCCUGCCAGCCUUUGGAACUGGAUGAUCAACAGAUAGGAUACCUGUCUCCAUAAGAUGGUUGCUUUUAGCUACUUGGGUAGCAGCAUGGUCUGCAUCAGCAUUUAGGUUCACUUGACUGAUGCUGUCGAUUAUAGCAGUUGGCUCUUCCUCCGACAGACUACCAUGUAUGUCAACACCUGUCCACAGAAAUCCAGUCAUUAAUCAUAAAUCUACUACUUUGAUCCAUGCCUUCAGUAACUAUUUAGCAAACUAUGCACAUUUCAACCCUAAAGUUUUCACUGUUCAUACCUUUUCCAUCAUACAUUGAUUCAAAGCCAGGAGGUAUCAUGGGUAUAGUGUCCUGAUCUGAUAAUUCAGUUGUGUUCAGUGUAUCCUCCAAAGUUUUAUCAAGCUGCUCCUGAGCAUGAGAUUACAAGGGUGAGAAGCUCAUAGCUACAUAAGUACUAGUUCAUAAAGUGUCUUCUUACUGCUAAGGGGGAUUCUUUCAUUGGUCCUGCCAGUUUCUUUCUUCCUCUCUGCUGGACGGUACUAGUCACAUCCAGUGAGCUAAGUGGACUACACAGUUCUCUGGGUCCUUUUCGUUUAGCCACUGCAGAUUGCAGAGCCAUUGUUAGAUUUUAAUAAUUACCUUAAAAGAUGAAUGUGUGGCAGAGAAAACACUUACAUUUCUUACAGGUAAGCACCUUUGAACUUGGACCCCUAAUAGUCUGUCUUGUCACCUUAAUAUAGAUUGACAAACCGAACAGAACACGCACAUGAAUAUGAAUACGGAAAGAUGUUUUUAAAGCCAAUCACAAGAUUUAAGAUGUCACAAGUCUAUACCCGCCUAUCCGGUGUUUUAUUAGUUUGGUCUUCCACAGAGGCGUUCAAACCACAGACAAUGACAGUGCUUGAGAAAUCGAUGUUCCCUUUCAACUGAAUCUGCACCAGUGAAAAAGAUCAACAUGAACAGAACUUCUAAAUGCUAUGGACGCAUUGUUACUCCAACUAUGAAACAUGAUGAGGGAACUCACGUUAUCUGAGGCAUCAUUUUUCCCCUGAAGUUCCAGAAUAGGGUGUGUUUUGGUCCCUUUACUUUUUGAUAUGCCUUUCUUCACCUUGAGUGUCUUGACAGAGAGCACUUUUUUCUGUAUCUGUUGGACAGAACUGCUUCUGCGAGCUGAAGCCAUAUUCUUUCUUAGCUCUGCAAUGGAAAGCAUAUCAUGGGCAUCACCAGCACUUGCACCAAACACACGUGUAUUAAGAUGACCAUCAGAAUCCAUCAUCUCAGAUAGGACUUCUUGAUUGUCCACUUUUUUCUGUAUCUGUUGGACACAACUGCUUCUGCGAGCUGAAGCCAUGUUCUUUCUUAGCUCUGCAAUGGAAAGCAUAUCAUGGGCAUCACCAGCACUUGCACCAAACACACGUGUAUUAAGAUGACCAUCAGAAUCCAUCAUCUCAGAUAGGACUUCUUGAUUGUCCACUGUUUCUCCAGUACUAUUUGGCAUUGAUUCAUUCUGAGGUGUUGAAUGUCCUGGAGAAGCACAAAGAUGACCAUUCAUGGGCACCGAACUCACUACCCCGUGGGAAGUCACUUGAAGACUAUUUUUUUCAGAGAGCAGAGAACCAGAAUUUUCAGCUAACGGGACAUCAAGCUGCUGAGAUUUUUUCCUCGACUUUUUGGUGCCAGCAGAUUCAGGGUCAUGAGUAUAGUCAUCAAUGCUUGAUAGCAAAUCAACAGGUGAGCUUAGAUUUUGUCCGCUCAUAGACUGCCGCCUCAAGUUAGCCCGUCUCUGUACAAGAAAGGAACUAUUUAGAAAUUAUAAUGGAUCAUACAAAAUGAAGGAUAGGAUGUUAUAUUGAUAUGUUCAAAAGUCAAAGAGAGUUUCUUUAGCAGUGCGCCAUAUACAUAAUAUGACAAGCCAAUGGUUAAACAAACUUCUUAGAAACUCACAAUGCACAAAAUACAAAAUGCUAGGAAACCUGCCUCGUGCAAUGGAUGUCCUCGGUGAAAUAUGUUCUAGGAUCCCCACAUCAGGAGUUCAAAUGAAGAAGAAAACACCUUUCGUAUUCAUUAUUGAUAAUAUCUCAAUUUCUUCUUAUAGGGCAUAUUAGGAUUUAGGAGAACUCACUUCAAAAGUAUGACUAACAAUUAGUAGAAUUGUAUGCAUUUAUAACAAUAGAUCUAUAACUAAGUGUGCAAAAGUUGUAUCAAAGAUUUGUAUUACGCAUAAUUUUUUGAAACAAUAUUAACUUAAUAGCAAUGAAAAUAUAUACUGUAAGAGAAAUUGAUACUUUGGAAGACUUUGUCAAAUCAUAUUGCACCCUGCAGAAAAGAAACGUUAGGAGUAUACUGUACAUAAUCGGCCGUUAUACAAGCAGCAGCCACAAACACAUUUCUACAUCCAUUCGAGAGCCAAGAGGGGUGAACAACAAAAUUUGAAUCAAACACAAAUCGUACAAAUUCAGGAUGAACAACCCAAAGGUAAAGGUGUUUAUAAAAAAAUGAAGCGCAACAUACCCAAUCAGGGUUUUUCAUCAAAAAAAUUAGCAGCAUUGUGUCAUUCAACAAUAGCGCAAUUUUUAGCAACAUGCAAACCAGACAAAGCAUCCCUGAACUUAAUCAUGGGCCGAAAACUCCAUCCUACCAAUAAACCACAUAACAAUUCCACAGUCCGUAAAUAGGUCAAGUGACAAAGGCACAAAGCCAAAGAGAGGUAACAUAGAAUUUGCCCAGAGCUGGAGAGUUCAAAACUAACUGUUGUACCUAUGCUAAAUUCAUCUGUCAAGCAUAUCUAUGGGUAAUCAUAAGUAGAGUGAAACAAGUAAGGAACUAAAAUAACCCUAAUAGGAAACAUCGGCAAUGAAGUCGACCAAGGCCGUCCCCAACAAAUUGUGGGUCCUGAACUAAAUUGUAAAUAAGGCUCUCAAUUCAUCUAAGAGAACAAAAACUGUUUUCUUUAUAUUAUCAAAUAUAUGCAUACUCUUGCAAAAGCAUACUAGUGCUCCCUCCAAUCCCAAAUAUAAGUCCAUCUAGCUCUUUAAAAAAAUGCAUCGGAUACAAGUCCAUCAACAAAUCAAAAGCACCUUUUUACCUCAUUUAUUUUGCUUUAGCCCUACACGAAUGCACCUAAUGAAUAGAGUAAACAAGCCGACCACCUUAUAGUACCAACUGUCGACAGCAGAUAGUCUUUGCACCACCAAUGUUAAUUUGUGUGCUUAAAUCCAAAUAGACUUGUAUUCUGGGAAGAUAGGUAUGUUUGGUUGUCUUGCCCAUUAGCUUUGCUUGGCAAAGCAAACCUUGCAAGCAAGGAAAUCCUUGCCCACCUUGCCCAAAUUCAAAUGAAGCAAAGGGACCAAAUAUGCUUGCUUAUCCUCUAACCUUGCUAGGCAAGGCUAGGAAAGGAUGAGCAAGAAAACCAAACAUGCUCUAGUAGCUUCUACUACAAAAGCAUGACUCUUCUAGUGUAGUUUGAAAUGCAAUUUUCAUUUACAUCUUCAAAAUAAAUCUCCAUGAAAUCAUUAUUCCCAAAUGCUUUUGGGCACCAAAUAUGGAGAAAGUAAAGGAAAAGAAAAAUAGAAUACAACACCAUUUGGAUGAUGGCAGACGGCAGAGAAACACAGCAAUUUCAGUAGAGAGGUUUGCACAAGAAUUUUUUUUCGAAAGGUUCACCAUAUCGGAGAUUCAUCAAAUUUCCAGUGCAAGCUACUCAAUAAAAAUUUCAUAUAAUUUUUAAACACAUUCUUUUGUUAUGAAGGGCCUCAACAGUAACAUUUCAAGGAAUCAAAACUUUAAGAUUCCCUUAUUUCCCCCAUGUUCAGAACAAUGCCUCAAAGACUUUGUCUAAUGCUCCUAAAUCACCAGCACACCUAAUUAAUCACCACCACUACUUGGUAAGCAAGAUAACUUCAGGGACUCCUCAUUUUUGCAAGCCUUAUGCGACUACAGUCCUUGCAGAUGCCCAAAACAACAGGCCUGAAGUCGACACAUAGUUCACAUGAAAGAAAAGGGUAGCUGAAUAAGAACAAAGAGAAUAUCAGACCAUCAAUAUUGUGGCAAAAAGUUAAACAGCAGCGCUGACAUCAUCACAAUUUAGCCAACAUCCACAAAAAAGAUGAUCACAACAGAAAGGGCUUUUCCUGUUCAUUCCCCUUGAAUUUAUUUGCAAGAUUACAUAUUUCCAGCCAAUGGGUGGGAUCCAAGGAACCAAAAUAAUCCAAAAAAUUUAAUUGAUACGGUAACCGUAGAAAUUCUCUUUCUGACUGAGAAAAGUUCCCACCAAACAUGUUGGUGGGACUAGAUCAUAAUGGUAGAUCAACUCCAAAAUUUAAACCAUAAAUGGCUUAUGGCUUGAUGAAUCAGAGGAAAACAAAGAGUAACCUUGUUCAAAGUACAAAUGGAAGGAAAAUGUAAAUCUAGCCACACAAUCGGGGGAACAUAACAGACAGAAACUAUAAUCAUAUCGUCCAACUACCUUUAGAAGUAUUUACACUGGGCAAGGUAGAGAGAACAAAAUAAACAAUGCACUUAUUCAAGAAAACCUCACAAAUAUUAGUUGAUAAGAGUCCAUGCUCUAUAAUAUAGUUAUAGUACCAGACACACAUCUCCAUACUGGGUAAGAAUUAUGAUCAAUAGAUAUGCCCAAGCAUCUAGUAACUAAACUCGAGAGAUGCGAAUCAAUGUCAUCAGCUCCAGUCCAAUUCAACACAAUCCACGCAUGCAGGUGGCCUAAUAGAUUAAAUCUUUGGGUAUCACAGAAGACUACAGCAACAGGCAAAUCCUAAAUGAACUAGAAAGGACAGAUACAGGAAAUGUGUUAAUCGUAUUACCUUAGCAGCGACAAUCUUCCAUUGCUUGCCAUCCCACUUGUACUGUGGCUUUAGCAAUUCCACGACCCUGGUCACCAGCUGCUCCGCCUUCUUGCCAAGGAUACUGACCUCAAACUCACCGUCCCCAACGGCCCUGCAGAUCACUCCCGGAGACCACGCCCCAUCGCAGUAGGCCUCCACGGCGGCGCCAGGAACCAGCUGGAACUCGCUGGGAUGAGGCAAAUGCUCGACAGCCGGCCUUAUGAAGCGCCAUUCCAGGUACUCGGUGGCCUUCUCCGUCCCGCCAUCCCCUUCCUCGUCCAAAUCGAAGUACUCGACGAUGUAGCUGAAGUCGUCGACGACCUUGGAAACCGUCGCGGGGAACCAGGAGUAGCCGUAGACGUCCCGGUCCCUCCUGGCCUCGACCUUCUCCCCGACCUGGUACACCCUAACCUUGCGCUCGGGCCGUACGGCGACGACGGACCGCGAGGGGACCCAGCCCCCGCCGCCGACGUAGUCGCGGCGGGGGCGGACGAGGCGAGGCGGGAACGGGAUGACCUCGCGGGUGAGCGGGAACGCGACGGUGACGGUGGCGCCGGGGUCCGGGGAGCCCGGCGCGCGCACGACGAUGCCCGACCACCACCCGUCCUUGUGGAAUGCCUCGACGAUGUCGUGGAGGCGGAACCGCGGCGGGAAGUCCUCGGAGGGGGGAGGGGGCCGCGGGCGGAUGUGGGUGGGCGCGAAGUGCUCCGCGAGCACGCCGCCGCCGUCGUCGGCGAGGAGGUGCUCGUACGUGACGGUGUAGCGCGCCGGGGUGCGGGGACCGCGGGCGGGCGCGAAGCCGACGACCGUGGCCUCGAACCAGGAGCCGCCGAAGCCGUGGGCGUCGACGCGGACCUCGACCUCGGCGCCGGUGGGGAGGGGCUCGGGCACGGGGGAGGAUGAGGAGGAGCCCGGCGGCGCGGACGGCGGCGGCGGCGGCGGCGGCCGCCGCGGGGACUUGCUCCAGCGGGCCCCUCGGCUCUUGCGACGGCGCCGCUUCGGCGGCUUGCGGCCGGCGGCAGCCAUUGGGGAUCGGUCGGGGGUUUUGGGGGAACGGGGGUUUUUGGGUGGUGGUGGUGGUGGGAAUGGCAGGCGCCGAUGCCGUGCGCCGUGUCGGUCGUCUGCUCUGUUUGUGUGGGCGGAGUGGGAGCGCCCAGGCGGGCCAGGCUUUGGGCUCUCGAUGCAGGCGUGGCGGGUGCGACCGGCACGGGCCCAUGCCUCUGCCACCGACGGGUGGGUCCACCGCAUGCGAAGCGGCCACGGGGCCUGCGUGGAAGUGGGCGUGAGUCCGUUGGUGUGCUGUGUUUGACUGGGUAUGCACGGGUUUCUCCGAGCGUGCCGUUCCUGGGCAGCGCAGGGCGGGGCAGCCACGUGGCGGGAUAGCAGGGGCUGUGGGGCCGCGUCGGGGCCACAUGGCAGUGGCGGUGGGGAAGUCGAGCGGGUGUGGUGCGUGGUGGCGGCGUCUCCUUGGUUUUGUCGCGGCGCCACGCCCGUGCGGAAGACGGGGGAAGUGGCGCAUCGGGUAGCGGGAGAUGGGGCCCGCGAGUCAAGCGGGUUCGCGCGAGUAAAGUAGGUGACCGUUUGAUUGACCUACCCGGUGGGAGGGGGACCCAGUCGUCAACUCGUCAUUCCCGUCAUUGAUCUCACGUGGAAUGUUUGACGCUAAUUAAGAAUAUUAAAUCUAAACUAAUUACAAAACUAACAACCUCUAGACUAAAUCGCGAGAUGAAUCUAUUAAAUCUAAUUAGUUCAUGAUUUGACAAUGUGGUGCUACGGUAACCAUUCGCUAAUGAUGGAUUAAUUAGGCUUAAUAGAUUCGUCUCGCGAUUUAGCCUAGGGUUCUGCAAUUAGUUUUAUAAUUAGCUUAUGUUUAGUCCUCCUAAUUAGUAUCCGAACAUCAGAUGUGACAAGGCUAAAGUUUAGCCCCUAGUAUCCAAACGCCCCCUAAACUGAUGGAAGUGAUGGAAGUGUUGGGGUCGAUGAGCUGGAGCUUCCAUGGACUGUGGGCCUAAGGCUAUUCCAGUGGAAAGUUUCAACGUGCGAUUAACAACAGUGACACAUCAUCAAAAGAGUUUUGAAAUCAUGAAGGUAACAAAGCCUUCUAAUGGCAAGUUUCAUUUUACAAUUUUAUAGACAAGGUAUUGCAUUUAAUUAAGAUGAACUUGAUAGGAUGAAAUUGGAUGAGAUGAAACUUUCUAGCCCCCAAUACUAGUUUCAAAGUCUUGGAAACAGUGUAACCCAAGUUUCAUCUAGAUGAAACCCAUCCCUUCUCUCUCUUCAUGAAUUUUUUGCCAUGUCAUCAUUUUUGUCUAUGUAGUACCUUAUUUAAUGAGAUUAACCAUAUCGAUGUUUCCAAGAUAGCCAAUGAAAUGAAAUGGUAUUUAAAACUACCCUCCCCAAUGCAUAAUUUCAUGGUGUGGUUUCAUAGGAUCAAAGUCACAUUUAAUUUCAUGACUCCUAGAGAGUUGGUAUUCGUGUACAGUUAGUUUCAUCCAGAUGAAACUGGUUCCCUCUCUCUCUUCUUUAAUUUCAUGCCAUGUCAUCAAAAAAUCCUAUGUGGCAUAUUAAUGAGAAUGAAACCUCAUGAAACUCCCCAUUGGGAGUAGGCUAACGGGUAAUUUUUCAACUUAAGAAAGCAAUUCUAGGAUUCAAAAACUACCUAGGGAAGAAUGAAACUCUAACGUGCACAAGCUAGCAUAGGACCCACAAAAUACAUGGACUCAUUAAGGUCAUGUUUGGCAUGACUCCAACUCUGGGUGGAGCUGCUCCACUCCAGAACUCCAGGUGGAGCCAGCUCUGGGUGGAGUUGGAGCUGUCUGGUGAGGGUGUUUGGCUGGGAGGGUGUCCCUAGCUCCAGAAAAGAGGAGUUUGAGGGUAGAUUGCCUUUCUUGCCCCCUGGUUCGACUUGAACUACUUAUCACAAAUAUAAAAUGAAAGUACAUGCAUUGAAGUCCAAAAUAAUAAUAAAUUACAUAUUCCAAAAAUUUUAAAAUUUCAAAAUAAAUUCAUAGUUCCAACAUAAGGUCGUUACAAUAAUCAUUGCACUAAUUCCAUGUUAGGGCAAUUGAUGUAGCCAUACUAUCACGAAAGAUGUCCAUAGUCACAAAGCUUGAUUCCGAAGUUGAUCCAUCGGAGGCAUGUUGAGACACGGCAUACUUGUUGUAUCUUUCCGGAAUAGUAGGCAUGUAGGUAGGAUCUCUAUCAAAAUUAGCAAAGUCCACAUCAACGCUAGCAUGUUCACGUAUGAAAUUGUGUAGAACCAUAGUAGCAGCAACAAUCUUCUUUUGUGUGACCAUUGAAUAACCGGGCAUCUUAUAAAGGAUUUGCCAUUUCAUUUUUAAUACUCCAAAUGACCGCUCAAUAACAUUACAAACAGAUGAGUGUAUAUGGUUGAACUUCUCUUUUGGAGUAUUUGGUUCCAUACCUCGAUGCCACUCGGGUAAGUGGUACCUUUCACCCUUGUAUGGAGCCAGAUACCCCGGACGAUUAGGAUAGCCCGCAUCUACAAUAUAGUACUUGCCUACACAUAUGUAAAAUAAGAUAAGUUUGUGCAUACAAAUAUGAAAAGGAACAUAAGGAAAAAUCUUUACCUUGAGGAGGAUGUGGGAAGACAUUUACAUCUGCUUCCAAUGCAUGGUACAAUACACUAGUGUCAUGCAAAGAACCCGGUUGACCCGCAGCCACAUAGGUGAAGCGCAUAUCAAAAUCACAAAUGGCAAGCACAUUUUGAGUUGCAAUUCCAGUCUUACCAAUAUAUCUCACUUGUUCUUCAGGUGAUAAAUACACACGAAUAUGGGUUCCAUCAAGUGCACCAAUGCAAUCCUUAAAGUGUGGGUAUGCUCUCUUGUCAUUCCUAAUCCUUUUGUGCACAUUGCAAAAAUUAGGAUCUGUUGGUCUCAAGAAAUCUUGUGCCAUGGCAACCACACAAUGUAGAACUUUAUGAAAUUUUCUACUAAUGGUUUCACCUGAGUGUUUGAACUUAUUUUAUCCUCUUCUAUUUGACUCACACCCACCACAUGUGAAUAGGAAAAUGGCCAACAUUUCAUAAGUAUUCACGUGCUUCGAUGGUUUUAAUCUGUACCUCUCAACCAACACAUCAUGAAGAUCCUGAAAAAUAACCUCAUUUAUCCGAAGCAUUCGAUGGCACUCCCCUGGAGUGUUUACCGUCUCCAUCAGCCAUCCCAUUCCACUUUGUUGUGAAAACAUAAAUCUCGGCGGUGCCUUAUCCAUAUAUGAGUCAUGAUAACUUUGUGCAAGCUUACCACAGCUCUCAACCAUUUUAAAAAAAUAUUCACCAUCAGACUCACUAGAUUCAUCAGACUCACUUGAAGACAUCUAUGAACAUUGAUAUAAAUGAAAUGUAAGAUACAACUGUCAUACAUAAAUAAAAUGCAAUAAAAUAAAAUGUACCACACAUGAGACAAAAAUAAAAUAGUAGCAUACACAAAUGACAUCACUCUCACUAAGCCAAUUUCUACUUUUCAUAUUUAUCAUUGUACUUCCUCCUAAGCCAAUUGAACCUAAUCUCAUUAGUAAGCAAGGUCAUGAACAUCUCCCUUUGCUCCUUCUUCACAAACAGCUCAGAUAUCAUGUAAUGUUCAUUGCUAUCAUAGCCGGCCCCACAAGUAAUCACAACCUCCAUCACUUCAUCAAUAGAAUAUUUUUCAUGUCUCUUAGAAACAUAUUUAUUGGUUGAACUUGCCAUACUUGUUAUUGCUUCUUGAAUUAGGAGUGCAUUUCCACACUUCGCCUUCUUGCCACUUCUAUCAACAGACAUUGCCAAUCUCUUGCCACUCGCGGGUGGAGGAGUAAUACCAAUAUCCUCCUCUUGUGUAUCCUGAAUGAAUUCAUCAUAUUGUGGCUCACAAUUGAUUUCCUCAUCUUGUGUCUCAUCCACAUUUUCUGGUGCUUCAACAUUCACAACAUGAGGAGACCAAUGAUCAAUACCAAUAGUAGUGAUGUUAGAAAAACACUUGGAUAAUUCAUCUUCAUUCUCAAGACCCUUCUUUUUGAACUUUCCACAACCCGGAAUGUCCUGAAAUAAUCAAAACAACACAUAUUAUUAUAAGUAUUACUAACAAAAUUGACGUAUGCAAAACAUAUAUAUCAAAAAAUUUUAACCAACUUACAGCUCUAGCUUUUUUCCACCAUUCGUCAUCCAUAGCAAUAGUCUUCUUUAUAGGAUCCCAACCAGUUCCUGUUUGCCUCAGCAUUAGUUUCUUCCAUGCCUUGAAAUCUUCCUUUAACUUGUUCCAUUUGUUCUUGAUCUGAGCCUUCGUAACCACUAUUCCAGUCCUUUCUUUGAACCCUUUCUCAACCUCAGCAUACCCAAGUGCAUUCAAGUGUGUGUUUGGCCGAUUUCCUUUUCCAACUUGUUCGGCAAAUAACAUACACAACAUCCGAGUGUUCUCUGAGUUCCAAUCAAUUUUAGGCAUCUAUCCAACUCAGAAAUGUCAUAUUAGAAUGCAUUAAUCUACAAGUCAGUUACGGUACAAAUAAAGCUCAUUUGCAUUGUACAAAAAUGAAGCCAAGGAAGUACUGCUAAACGUGUAGCCCAGCAGUAAAUAAAUCGCAAAGAGCUAGAUCGGAUAUCAGCUCGUAUCAAGAUAGUUUGCAUUAGACAAGACUGACAGAACCUCAUCCACUAAUCCUUGGAUUUUAACUAGCUAAUGACAGAGUUCAAUCAAAGGUAUACAUUUGUUCCAAUCAAAGGAAAAAAACAAAUGGUUUACUCUGCAAGAUAAGUUUGGAUAGAAACACACCUAAUUACACAAAGAAUUGAGAAAAAUACAGGUGGCACCAUCUGCCGAGUACCUUGUUCGAGCAAAUGGUUUACUCUUCUCCGCUUCAAUCUCUUUUAUUCUAGCCUCAGCUUCUCGCUUUUGCACCAAUCCUUUACCCCAUUGUAUAUGUAUUUCGUGCCAAUAAGUACAACAAUGGUCAUUGAAAGCUAAAAGCAGGAACUUGCUUUUGAUUAAACAUAGUUACAACUAGUAUGGGAGAGGACAAAUUUGUCAUAACACCAGCAAGAAGCUUCGAGUCUGUUCUAACUAUAAUAGUUAUAUGUACUAGUAUAUUUUCAGUUCAGUAGCCUCACUUCUGACUUUACCAUAGAACCUCAACUAAAAGAGCAAUAACAACGUCUGCAUAUUGUGUUUUCCCACUGAUUUUAGUCCAUGGCGUGUGCAUUGAACUGCCUGGAAGGAGUGACUUGUUGCAAAGCUGAAGGAGCACUGUUUUUGGACAAGUGAGUAAAAUGCGUUCAUGUUUAUGUACUUAUUUUUAUAAACAGAUCAGAAUAUCUGUGAUAGAUAAAGAAACAAAGGCACAAACAUAUUUUGUUUCAGAAUAAAACAGAAUGUAUACAAAUUUCAUAUAUGAGGUUCUCAUUAUGCUAAGCAAUUUCUACUGGAAUAUAACUGAACCGCUAACAUGCUACUGCAUCGAGUCAUCUAAUGAAUUGAUCUAUCCAACAAGAUAUUUUCAGCAAACUAGAACUGCUACAGGUUCAGGCUAAUGCAUCGAUCUAUCUAAUGAAUCAAUCUAUCCAACAGGACUAAUUUCAGCAAUCUCGAACGACAACAGGUUGUCAUUAUGCAUCGAUAUAUCCAGCAGGCUAAUUUCAGCUAACAAGACUCUAAUGUUAUAGAAGCUAGUACACAAAUCAGUUGCUACAAUAAUGUAUGGAUCUAUAACAAAGCAUGCAACCCAAUUGCACCAGCAUUGAACGGCGGCCGAUGGGCACAGCAGAGCAUGUAACGGCGGCCGGUAGCAAAAACAAAACAAAGGAGGCACCGUACCUUGUGAACGGCGGUCAGCGGGGGAUCUCCGGACGGCUGUUGGUGGGCCCUGCGGCCGGCGAGGGAUCUCCGGCGACGGGGGGUGCGGCUGGCGUCGAGGCUUCUGCGGCAGGCGGCGGAUCUCCGACGACGGGGAGCUACGGCCGUCGGUGGAGGGCUGCGGCUGGUGGGGGAUCUCCGACGACAGGGGCCUGCGGCCGGCGUUGGGGCUUCUGCGGCAGGCGGCGGCCGGCGGCGGGCCUUGUGCAGAUCAGGCGGGAGACGGAGCAAGGCGGCCGGGCGGGGGUAGGAGACCGGCGGCGGGGCUGUGCCGGCCGGCGUCGGGUCUGGGCCGGCCGGCGGCGGAGGUGGACGGCGGCCGCGGGUCUGCCUAGCGGCGGCAGAAACCCAACCGACGGCGGUCUCGCAAGAAAAGUCGGGACGGAGGGAGGCGCAAGAUGAGGAAAAUGAGAUGCAUGGGGAGACUCGGAGAAUAGAAUCGAAAUAUUUUUUUCGUAACCAGUGGCAUUGGUGGGUAAUUACCCACCAACUCCACGAGGAGGUUCAAAAGAGAGGGUUCUGGAGCAGCAAAAGAGGUGCUCCAAAACUCCACCUUCAUUUGCACUACAGCUCCAUGGAGUUGGCAGCUCCAUGGAGUUUUGGAGCUGGGGUGUUUGGCUGAAUUUUUUAGUGGAGUUGCUAGAGUUCAGGAGUGGAACCAUGCCAAACAGGGCCUAAAAAAUCACUAGCGGUGGGUGCACAUAGCCAUGCAUUGCUAUUGAUCCAGGUGCAACUAGAAUUUUCACUAACUUCUUAGUGAUCAGUAGGGGUAUAUAUGUCUGUUUACAUGUUAUUGAUUUGUGUGAAGGAUGUUAGAGCUGUAUUCUUUCUUGGACAGAGGAAGUAGAGGAUGGGCAUGUUCGCUUCAGCUUAUAAGCCGGCUGAAAAGCUGAAGCGGCUGAUUUGUUGUGAGAGAAAAACACUGUUUGGUGGCUGAUAAGCCGACUGAAUAAGCUGAAGCGAACAGGCCCGAUAUAUUUCAAUUUCAAUAUCAAUCUUUUCAUAAAGAAACCAUUCAAUUGGUUUUGUUGGUGGAAGCUAGACUUUCACUAGUAGAGAACUGACCUUCAAUCCAAGUGCUUUUGUCUCGGUUAGCUUUGGAUGGGACUAAAGUGCUUUUAGUCCUGGAUCAAAAAAGUGCCAACAAAAGCCACCGCGGGGGGGCUUUAGACCAACCGAGACUAAAGCCCAGUUGUAAUGACUAUAAAAAAUCGCACCGACCCCCCCUCCUUGUUCCGGUUGAAAAUUCCAUUUGGGACAAAAGGGGGGGUCUUUUAUCCUAGUUGGAAUUUCCAACCAGGACAAAAUCUCAUCCCUUAUAAAUCUAGAACUCUUCUUCCUCCCCCAGCAAGAGCCACUCCACCUAACCGAGAGCUUCAUCCUCCUGUCCAUGGGGGGCAAGCAACCUUAGGGGAGGUGCUGCCCAAAUUGUUUUCCCCAUUUCCAUGGGAAUUUCACUCAUCCAAAGUGUUGUGAAGGUUAGCUACUUCAUCCUCCCUUUAUUUAUUAUUAUUAUGCUUUGUUUUAUGCUUUAUAGAGGGAGAAAAAUGAGUUUUUUAGAAUGAGAGAGAAUGGAGAGGAUUUUUAUUUAUACAUGUUUUUUUAGCUAGAAUUUGAUGGAUAGCUUGCUUGUUAUAUAUGAUUCGUAUAGUUAAAAGAACUUGAUCAAUAUUAGGUAUGGAAAAAAAUAGAGUAAAUGGGUUUUUAAUAUUUAGUCAUUGCAACAAAAUUAAGAUAAAUAAAUUGUAGGUGUAAGAAAUAGAAUUUGGUCAUUGCUACAAUUUUUCAUAUCACUGUAAUUUAACAAUAAUUGUAUUUCUUUGACCAAUAAUUUAUUUAUCUCAUGUUUAUUGCAAGAACUAAAUAUUAUAAACACACUUACUCUAUUUUUUCUCCUACCUAAUAUUGAUCAGGUUACUUAUCUAAUACGAAGACCUAUGUCCAUUUCUCACAUAAUACGAUGUAGAUGGACCGGCAAUGAAUGUAUGUCGCAAACAGACGAACCAAGGAGUUUGUUGAUGGCUUGCAUUAUUUUCUCAAACUGGCCAAAGCCAACAAGCCAAAGAACAGAUUCAUAUGUUGCCCAUGCUUCCAAUGCAGUAACAAGAAGGACUACUCUUCCUAGGAGACUGUUCACAACCAUAGGUUUAGAUAUGGUUUCAUGCCUAACUAUUUGGUUUAGACCAAACACGGUGAAAGAGGGGUUAUAAUGGAAGAUGGCAAAGAAGAGAAGGAUGAUAACAAUAUUCCAGACUAGGCUACAGGCUAAGCUUUUGUAGAUACUAUAAUGAGCGAGGCUGAUGAAGAUGAAUUUGUAGAAGAUGAUCCUAUUGAUGAUCUUGUCAGUUUCUACGGGAUGCACAUAGAGGUUGCGAAACCGAGAAGGAAUCAGAAAAGUUGUAGUGCAUGAUACAUGAUCACAAAAAAUUGUUGUACCCGAAUUGCAAGCAGGGGCAUAAAAAACUAGGUACCACACUAGAACUGCUGCAAUGGAAGGCAAAAAAUGGUGUCUGAUAAGGCAUUUCAACGGAUAUUGAAAAAAAAUGUCAAUAAUAUUCUUCCCGAGAAUAAUGAAUUGCCGUCCACAACAUAUGAAGCUAAAUAGAUUAUUUGCCCUCUAGGAUUGGAGGUUCAGAAGAUACACGCAUGUCCUAAUGACUGUAUCCUCUAUCGUGGUGAUGAAUACGAGAAAUUGAAUGCUUGUCCUGUGUGCGGAGCGCUGCGGUAUAAGAUCAGGCGAGAUGAUCCUGGUGAUGUCGAGGGGCAGCCUCCCAAGAAGAGUGUUACUGCGAAGGUGAUGUGGUAUUUCCCUAUAAUACCACGUUCGAAACAUUUGUUCAGAAACAAGGUGAAUGCUAAAUUGAUUUGAUGGCACAAAGAAGAACGUAAGCAAGAUGAGAUGCUGAGACACCCCGCAGAUGGGGCCCAGUGGAGAUCAAUUGAUAGAGCAUUCCCGGACUUUGAAAGUGAUGCAAAGAAGAUAUGGUUUGAUUUAAGUACUGAUGGAUCCAAUCCAUUCGGUGAGUUGAGUAGUGGUCAUAGUACUUGGUCUGUGACCAGUAUGUUCAACCUUCCUCCUUGGUUGUCAAUGAAGCGGAAGUUCAUUACGAUGCCGGUGCUUAUCCAAUGCCCAAAACAACCCGACAACGAUAUUGACGUGUACCUAUGACCGUUGGUUGAUGAACUUUUACUACUCUAGAAGAAAAAAGGUGUACGUGUGUGGGAUGAGAUUAAACAAGAGAGUUUUGACCUAUGAGCGUUGUUGUUCGUAACCAUCAAUGAUUGACCUGUGCUGAGUAACCUUUCAGGACAGAUAAAAAAGGGAUAUCAGGCUUGCACCCAUUGUUUAGACGACACAGACAACAUGUAUUUGAAACAUUGUAGGAAGUUCAUGCAUAUGGGUCAUCGACAAAUUCUUUCUGCUAACCACCCAUUAACAAAAAAAGGGAUGAAUUUCAAAGGGGCCCCAGACCAUCGGAAAAAACCUGCACACCAUAAUGGAAAACGUGUAUUUGAGAUUAUAAAGGAUGUAAGGGUAGUGUUUGGAAAGGGUCUUGGUAGCGAACCUGUUCCAAACGACGAUAACGGACAUUCACCCAUGUGGAAGAAGAAGUCUAUAUUUUGGGAGCUACCUUAUUAGGAAAUCCUAGAGGUCCGCAAUGCAAUAGACGUGAUGCACCUGAUGAAGAAUCUUUGCGUGAACGUGCUAGGCUUCAUGGGUUGUUAUGAGAACUCAAAAGAUACAUUGGAAGCCUAACAGGAUCUGAAACGUAUGAAGCAACGAGAUGACCUAAUGGAUAGCAAGUUAUACUCUCAGCAAGGAAGAGAAGGAUAGCAUGUUUGAAUGCAUGAAUAGUAUCAAGGUUUUGUCUAGGUACUCCUCAAAUAUAAAGAGAAUAAUAAAUAUGAAAGAAAAGAACUUAACAAAUCUCAAGGCCCAUAACUGCCACAUGUUGAUGACUCAGUUGCUUUCAGUUGCACUGAGGGGUAUUCUACCAGAGAAUGUAUGAUUGGCGCUCGUAAAGCUAUUCUACCAGAAAAGCACUAACAAGAAUGGUGGUAUCCGCAUAGAUGCCAUAGAUAGCAACAGGAGCAAGGACUCAUCUUAUGGUUUCAUAGAGGAGAUCUAGGAACUCGAAUACGGACUGCUGAACAUCCCUUUGUUUCGUUGCCAAUGGGUAAAGCUAACUGGAGGUGGCAUAACGAAAGAUCAGUAUGGAAUGACAAUAGUGGACCUGACCAAGACUGGAUACAAUGAUGAACCAUUCGUCCUUGCCAAUGAUGUGCACUAUUUUUUCUAAGUGAAGGAUAUGUCUAGCAAACCCAAGAAAAAUUUAGAAGAUAAAGAAAAACUAUGGGAGCCAAAAUGCCACAUAGUUCUUCCAGGUAAAAAAAAUCAUGGGAGUUGAGGACAAAAGAAACCAGUCAGAUGAUUAUGAUCAGUUUGAUGGCAUGCCUCCAUUUGUUGUUGAAGUUGACCCAAGCAUCAUGCUAGUCAAAGAAAAGGCUCCGUACUUACAUCGCGAUCAUGACCAAGGAACUUUCGUCAAGAAGUUUUUUAAUGUUACAUUAUAAUGCACUAAAUAUGGUUCAUCUUUAUGUAAUGCUCUAUGGCCAUCAGAACCUUUGAAUUAUAUUGUAACGCUCUAUAAUGAACAUUUAUUCGAUCAAUAUAAACAAUGUUAACUUAACCACAUAUAUCAAUUACAUUUUGCGCGUUGAAAUUAUUUAAUUGAAGAGUUUGUUGAUCAAUUGAUGCAUUAAAAUAAUUAUUUUAGAUGUCAAACUUAUUUUUAAUAUACUUGCUUAUUUAAUAUAUUUUUGCAUGUUCAAAAUAUGUAAAGUUUCUAUUUUUUUCUUUAACAAAACCAGUAGAAAAUAACUUAAAAUAUACAUAAAUUAUAAUUGGAAAAGAAGCGGGAAAUGAAAAAUCCCACAAGGGCUUUUAGACUAAAGACACCUCCUUUAGUCCCGAUUGCAAUUUGCAACCAGGACUAAAGGGUGCAUUUUCAGUUCAUGCGAGAAAAGCAUCCUUUAGUGCCAGUUGCAAAUUGCAACCGGGAUUAAAGGGGGGGGCUUUAGUCCCAGGUUGAAUUUGCAACCGGUACUAAAGGUCCUUUAGUCCCUGUUCCAAAGUCACCCGGGACUCAGGGGGGUGGGGGAGGGUUAAGACACGCCCCCUUCUCCCUGUGCCUCGUCUCCCACACUCUGAUCCGCCGCCCCGCGCCCACUCGUCUCCUGUCCGCCGCCCGACCGCCAUCGUUCACCCACUCCCAUCUGCUGCCCGGCCGCCGUCCGUAUGCCCCGGCCUCCGUCGUCCUUCUGACCCGUCUGCCGUCUCCCGCGGCGCCCCAACCCGCCUGCCAUCCAAGCGUCAGCCCCCGCCUCCGCCCAUCCCGGCCGUCGCCGUCGUCGCCCGCCUCGUUGCCGGCCCCGUCCAAGACCCCGCUCUUGAUCCGCCCACACUGUCGUCUGGCCCCGCCAUCACCCGCCCGCGCCGUCGUCCACCCGCGCCGUCGUACCGGCCCUGGCUGCCAUCGUCUACCCAUGCCGUCGCCCGCCCCAACCCGCCGUUCGAGCGCUCACCCCGCCGUCGUCCACUCCCGUCAUCUGUGCGCCUGCUCCACUGUUAAUUGUUUAUUAGUAUGGAGUAAUUAAUUAUAAUUGCACAUUACUAUUUUUAUUUCAUUAUAAUUGUGUAUUAAUUGUUUUUAUUUAAUUAUAAUUGUGUAUUACUGUUAUUUAAUUACUGUUUUACUGUUAAUUGAUAUUCCUAUUAAUAUGGAGUAAUUAAACUUAGAGUUAUGCUUCAGAUAUUUACCCGCAAUAAACUUAGCUUCAAAUAUCUUCAAGUAAUUUCCAAAUCCAUUUACCUGAUAUUCCUAUUAAUAAAAGACACAAUUUCCCUUCUAAUAUGAUGUGCUCAUGCAUUUCUAGAUUUACUAAUGCAAAAAUUUUAGGAUUAUCUUGUAAUUUUUUCUUAUUUAUAUGGAUGCAUCGAAAUGUGGAUGUUAAGUUAAAAACAAUUCAACCGUACGUUAAAGUCAAACUUUAAGAGACACACCAAGUUAAACCUUCCAUUACGAAAACCAAUAUAAACUCACUUAACAUGACUUAAAUGUAGAAGACUAGAAUAUUGCUAGACAAAAUGGCACAAAUGUUUUUUAUGCUCAUCCAAAUAUUCAUGCAUAACAGCAUAUAUGUAUGACCAAAAUUUGAAUAUGUUUUUUUAUUAUGAUUUUAUAGUUUUAUGCACUACUUCAUUCAACCACUAGAAUGAGGAUGAGGGUAGCCAAGCGGACAUGUUGUUCAACAUGUCCGGUGAUGGCAAUGAUGAGCCCGAUCACCGCGUUGAUGACAAUGCGGAACAAAAUCUUGCAGUGACAGAAGGUUCCGGCGAGGUAUAUAUCAUCUUCAUUGUUUUACCCCAUCUAUAAUUUCAUAUUCAUUAUUACUAUGUACUAAAUAACGAAUCUUGAAUUGUUACCCCUCUGGAUCGACGAAGCAAAAUAAGCCGUGAGGUCGUACAAAGAUAAUGGAGGGAAGGCUUCACAUCAUGGAAAUGACAGAAGAGGGCAAGCCAAUUGCUCCCGAACAUGUGGCUAGAAACUUUGUGAGUCAGAUCGGGGCUAUUGUAAGGGACAACAUGCCCAUCAGCAUUAGAGAAUAGAAGGGUAAACAAGAUGAUCCAUACAUGCUCCCGUAGACACAAAAAGGAUAUGUUGUGGGCAAAUUUCAAGAAACACUUCACACUUCCUGAAGGUGUCGAAGAAAAAGAUGUGAAAGAGUAGAUGUUGAAGAAGAUGGCAAUCCAAUUCCAGAUCUUCAAGAAGAAUCUGGAUGCCAACUUUAUCAAGAAAGGCUAAACUCUAGAUUUUGAUGAGUGGCUAAAGUUAAGAGACCACUGGAACACAUUUAUCGAAUACAAGAUAAGCGAAGGUAGUGCGAAUAAGUUUCAUGUCAACGUUGUCAAUGCUAGCAAGAAGGAGUACCAUCACCGUAUAGGGUGAGGUGGUUACAUGAGUGCAAUUCCCAAUUGGAAAAAUAUGGAACAAGACCUAUUUGAUCGAGGUAUCGUACCAGCAACUAUUGACUGGCCCGAUCGAUCGAAAAAUUGGUAUUACGCUCAUGGAGGCAACCUGAGCCAAGAGGAUGUGACACUUAUGUUCAAUGAAACAAUACGUCAGAAGGUCGAAAGGCUUAUCAAAAACAUUGAAGAUGCUAAAGCUGGGAAGUUGAAGGUUGAUAGAGAUAACGAUGAGCUCACUUUGGUGCUCAGGAAUCCCGAACACCCAAGACGUUGCUGAGGCUACAAGAUUCUUCCGUGGAAGUUCGCUUUUUGUAGGGACAUUGACUCGUACAGAAGCCGUAAGCGAAGAAAGGAACUGGAAGAGGAGAGCUGGAGGCGCAUGUUAGAAGCCAAAGUGCAUUCACAAGAAGUAAGAAUGUAGGAAGAAAUUAAUCAUCGAGUGGCUCUGGUAAUUAUUGAGAUGGACCAAUCUAGAGCACUGCCGGAUCCCAACAUCGUCAGCCCUUCUCAACGUUGAAGCAGCUAUGCUUCCAUAAGGGUCCCCGAUGAGCACCUGCCAAGAUUACCCGUGGACAACCAACGGUACCCUGUGGAUGACAUCACUCAGCGCACCUCAUGUGAGCUACAUAGACCAUUAGGCAACAUCACUAUUAAGGUAUACAAAUAUAUAAUUUAUGCAAUCUUCUCAAUUGAUCCACACCUCGGGAGUUUAAUAACUUCUUUAUUUCUCCUAUAUGUACAGGUGGCGUACAGGAGUGCUUUACCAAUCCUGCCAGGACAGAUAAGCCAUGGCAUGGAGAUUCCACUUGGCUACUCCAGCGUUGGUCUAGAGCAGAUUUGUGAUAGUCAAUAUGAAGGCCUAGAGCUCGACCUCCCGUGAGGUGAUGGGGAUGCACUUCACGGGAUCAUUCUAUAGCGCAAAUGCUACAUCAUCAUCCCGGACAAGGAGGCAUCAUUGCUCCCUGUAGAUCCCCUGCAACGACCAUCUUCUCAGAACUCAAGACCGUCAUGUCCAGCACAUCCUCCUCCAGGACCGUCGUCACCACUGGGACCAUCACAUCCUGCUCGAUCACCAUCUCCAUCUCUAUCGAAUCCUGGUGGUGCGAGCGACGACGACCACAACACCCCUCCCCGAUCACCGUCGCUUGGACUAAGACCCGCAACGAGCAAGGAACCUGUAGCACCUCUAAAGAAGCCAUGACCACCACCUUCCAAGCCAAGGCAGCCAAAGAAAACAAAGAAUUCUAAACCCAUUCAGAAGCUACCGCCCGAUAUGACUACUGAGGAAUUCUGGGAGGUAUCGCAAGCAAUGGUGAAGGAGUUCUUCAAAACAUGCGCUGAACAAAGAAAUGCAAAGGAGAUGGCGCCAAAGCCAGUAGAUCCAACAAAAUUAAAUUUUUUUAUUGGCAUGUCAAAAGAAGUAAAGAGGACUGCACUAUCAAACUACGAGCAUUCAUUAGUUAAGUCUGAUCAGAAGAAAAAAUGGCAAGGAGCGUCAUUUUCCAGUCAAACUGUCCCCCAGCUCGGGGAUCUACCAGAUAAAGAUACUCAAACUAUAGCAUCAAUGCCCUUAAAACAACAAAUCAGAAUCAUUGGAUUUAUGCAAGAUACAGGUAUGUCGCUUGCUGAAGUUCUAAGGCAAGUUGAACCGCCAGCUCCAGAGGCAAUUGUACCUAAAUGGCCCUUUGAGGUAGGCAAGCCUCUAGUAAGGUCUGAAUUGGUACGGAAGCUCUCCAUGAAGAUGUACGAAUUCCAUGAAUGUUACAUGGAGCAAUCUGCCAACGAGAGGCUCAUGUUCGCUCUUCGGGUUAAACCGAUUGAUUUUUUUGGCGAAGGUGAGAAACUGCUUUGCAUGGAAUUCAAGGAUAUAUAUGAAGUGUACCAUCAUGAUGUCCUUGACGUCUCUCUCAUCAGCGCCUGGGUUCUGUAAGUGUCCGUUUAACAAUAUGUAAAUUUUGGCUCAAAUUAUUAUUUUUGUGUGUGCGUCACCCUACUAACUUCGUCUUCCAUUUUAUGUAGGAUGCUAAUUCAAAGGUGCCGCAGAGAAUCGUACUUCAAUGUUGGCUUCAUGGAUCCAUUGCUUGUUAACCAAACCAGAUACGGGAUCAGCCAAUGAAAAUAUUGGAGGCAGUAUACAAUUUCUUGGAGAAACAAAAUUACAAGGAAUACAUACUACUGCCAUACAACUUUAAGUAAGUAUGGGUACUGUAUAUUUUCAUUUUCUUUUUCCUUACCUAAUUAAUGUUAGUUAGCUCUAAUAUGAAUAUUUAUGUACGCAGUUUCCAAUGGAUUCUCCUAAUAAUUAUGAUUGAUAAAAGCCAUGUUAUUGUGUUCGAUUCAUUGAGGAAACCAUUGGUGGAGUACAAGAUAUUCAAAACAUGCUAAACUUGUAAUAAUUCUGGACCUCUAUCUCUAUGCAAAAGUUUGUUUCCUAAAUUUUCACCCAACACUUUAUCAUUUAUUAUUUUAAUCAGCAGCAUAUGGAAAUGAUUCAUUAAGACUCACCGUGGUGACUUCAAAGAAAAACUUACAUUCAAUACAAAGUUCCCGAUAUGUAUGAAGUUUGCACAUUUUGUACAUUCUAUAACACGAAUAUUUCAUAACUUGUUUUUUUCCCACUAAAGUUGAGAUAGGAACAAGACAAUAAUCUAUAUGGAUACUAUGUCUGUGACCACAUGAACAGUUUUGUGCAUGGCAAGGUGCUGUCAUCGCAUGAUCUAGAUGUACGUAAAUAAAACUAUUAAUAAGUAAUUAUUUUUUAGCUCCUUAUAUUUUAUUGUCACAUAUUGCAAAUUACGGAUGUGGCAGAUUCAAGAAAGACUCUAGGAGAAGGAGAUGAUUUUGGCAAUAUGUGAAGGUCUCAUAGGAUUCCUGGUAGACGAGGUGAUAAAUCCCGCGGAGAAUUUUAUUAUGACGGAUGUUCGAUAGCCGCAACAAGCAACACCACGAUGGAAGGAUCAUAGGAAUGAAGAGGAGAAAUUAUUGUAUAUAUAGUAAUUGUAUAAUAUACGGUUGUAUAUAUAGUAAUUGUACAAUAAUUUAUCCUCUUCAUUCCUAGGAUCCUAGUUUGAUGUGUAUAAUAUACUAAGAAUUGUGUAUAUAUAUAUAUUACUAUCAUGAAAUAUAUAUACGACUUGCAUACAAUAUUAAUAUGACUUGCAUACAAUAUUUAUAUGGAAAAGAAUUUUAAAAAAGUCUUAAGUACUAAAGGGGUACGUGCAUGCGCCAUGCAGUCGCGCAUCCAGGCACAUGCAUGUACCCCUUUAGUCCUGUUUAGUAAAACCAACCAGUUUUACCAACCGGGACUAAAGGGUGCCCCGAGACUAAAGGGGGUCUUUAGUCCCGGGUGAAUCCCCUUUUGUCUCGAAAAUUUAGUCCUGGUUGGAUUUUCGGGAUUUAUGGUCCUAUCCAACCGGGACUAAAGCCGCGUUUUUCACCCGUGUUUGUGUUGGUUGCUAGCGUGGCUGUCAGAAUCGCGGUACGUGACGUGGUAGUGUGUGUGUACAUGGCCAUUUAGCCUGUUUAAGCGACGGUACGUGACGUGGUAGUGUGUGUCUACAUGGCCAUUUAGCCUGUUUAAGCGACAUUUAAACGCUACGCUGUAGCUAGACGUGUUCGUUCAAUCAAUCAUUUACCCCGUUUAAUUACCGUUUGACCUGUUUAAAUAUCUAUUUAGCACGAAUAAAUAGCUAAACGAUAGGUAACUGAGUGUUUAGCGUUCAUUGGGAGUCAACGUUACGAAAUGAGCCAUAUAUGGAAGGAUGCUUACUCAAGCUGCAAAUUAAAUUGGAGCUUUUGAACUUUUUCCUUUUAUUUUAGUUUUUUUUUCUAUUGUACACCAUAGCUUGUGAUAUCUUGGCUACAAUCUUGGAACAUAUGCCCGUCUUAUAGGGGUAGCUAAGUUUUUAAUAAUUUUGGUAUGAUGCAACAUCGAAGAUGAUAUUUGAAGGUGGAAAUAUAGUAUGUAUCCAUUAUUUUAAAAAACAGAAAAUCUCAAGGAAUAUUGUUUGUCAGCCCUUUUAGAUAGUGUUUGGUUCACUGAAAGUAACGUAAACACGUUACCGAGUGAUAAUAAGUAGCGUUACAGGCGUUUGUUUUGGCUUGGUCUGUAAUCUAUUACGCUUCAAUCGGAUACCAGCCUAUUCAAAUCGGAUCCCGCUCGUCCCCGGCUGUAAUCGCAUCGCUUCCCUCAAGUACUUUGCGAUACUGUUACCUUGAUUGAACCAAAUAGAGAACGUAAUCGCAUAUUCCAGUGCUGAUUCCCCCGUGAUUCGAUUACAUUUACGUUUGCGUUGCCACUCCUUGAACCAAACACUAUCUUAGAUCAAAGUAUGUGAGUUGAGGUAACCGGAGACACCAUCGUAAAUAAAUGAAGUUCAUGAUGGAAUAGAUAGAUAAUAUAAAUAGAUAGACUGAUAGAUAGAUAGACGGACGGACAGAUAGAUGAUAUAAACAGAUGGACUGGUGGAUAUAUAGACGGACGGAUGGGGAGAGAGAGAGUACCUGUGUGAUGGAUACUAUAUUCGGUUUCUGAUAUCCAUCUAGCUAGGACCUUAUAUGCACGUAAGUUCUUUUGGUACAUAGCACUCCUUCAUAGCACCAUGGUUCUCAACAAGAAACUAGUGGUCGCUGGCUUCACCUUGGCAUUGCUCCUUGUGUCUUGUCGUAAGUUCUCAAGACACUUAUUCAAAAUUUUCAGGAAAAAAAUUGUACAAAACACCAGCUACUACUUCCAGUCUCCAAAUAAGCUUUUCUGGUUGCAGGCGCACAGGGUGCAAGAGCACUC
Molecule: long non-coding RNA, 71954 nt
Filed under: Setaria viridis
Lineage: Eukaryota; Viridiplantae; Streptophyta; Magnoliopsida; Poales; Poaceae
Description: long non-coding RNA (SVIR_LNC009731)
Source: RNAcentral